CAUGUUUGCGAUACUAAUACAAUUAUCUAAAAAAAUUAAGAAUUUUCUGUAAACAUUUAAUAUAUUUUUUGCAUUACUGUUCACCCGGAAGCAUAUGCUCCCGGGAGCCAAAACACCACUCCCCUCUUUGGGUGGCUAGACAGAAAUUUGAUACUCUAAAUACUACUCCCUCCAAAGCUAGUACAAAGUUUAAUCAUUUAUUAUGGAACGGAGAAAGUAUAUAUGUGCUAUUCCCUGGCCCUGCCGAAACACAGGAAUAGCAUUGUGUUUAAUGGUGUUUCCUUGGAUCUCUCUUAAUCAGAUCUGGUGGCCGCUGAAGAAAUGGGGAAGAUCACAUGCUGAAUCAGGUGGAGCUGUUCUGCCUUCACGUGCAACAGAUAAUCCAUACUCCAUUCCAAAUAGAGUGGCGGUUAUGGUAGCUACAGACGCUGAUGGCUAAGCAUUUGGUUUUCUUCCUGAAGCCAGUUUUGGAGCAGAUAAUACAAGGCCCAGCACACGCCAUCACGGCCAGCCAUGUCUGGCCUGGUUUUGCUUUUGUAUGUUCGUGUACUGAUGCUCCUGAGAGAUGUUGCAGUUUGUAACAGUUUCAGUUUGCUGCCUUGAACCAAAGCUUUCUUUUGAACCUUGCACCUGGGCCUAAUUUGAUCAGGCCUCUUUCUAUGAAUGGAGCUGGUGAGCACUCUGUUAUCCUAAAAAUAACCCAUAGUAUCAUGAACAGAUGGAGCUAACGACAGGCUCAGUGCACAACCUUACAAUAUCUUUAGCUUGUCUAAAAUUUCUACAGAAGUUCGGCAUGAGAAAUCAAUCUUUAUUAUCAGUCCAUAUAUUCAGAAAAGAAGUGUUGAGUAAAUACUUUCAAGGACGCUAUAGCUUUACUGUUUCUCCAUAAUAAGCAUGGCCUACAAUAUUCAUGUUUGUUCGUACCGAAGGGUUUCCAGAUUAUUACAAAACACCUAUUCUUGUGCUGACUACCACAUGUAAUUCUACAAAUAUCGCCUAUUAGUGAUGUCCUAGCUCAUCAUUUGAGGGGCAGUGAAAACAAGGUUAACGAAUAUAAUGGAAUCAAAAUUUGUUUCCUCUGUGCUCCAGAAGAAUCAGUCUGUGCUCUUAGUGGCCUUAUGUGCAUUCACAAGCUGCAUCUGUACGUCCUGCGAGACAGUAUUAUGCUCCAUAUACUCCAUUGUAAACUCACCUUUUCCCUGCGGUACAUGAACCAUGGAAUUAAUUAGGAACACCACCAUACUAGUUUAUUUUCUAUUAUUUUGCCAAACCUUUUCCUUUUAAUGCCAAACCAAAGACUUGAAAGAUAGUGUCAUGGGUCUUUAAAACAGGAGGGUAUUCAAUGACUCUAUGAAACAGGAGGGUAUUUAAUGACUGUAUGAAACUGCAUUGUAGUACUACCUCCGUCACAGUCACAGUUUAGAAGGCACGCACGUGUACCUAGGUCGUCAAUUUGACUUAUAUAAAAUCUAUUGUUUAAUACUCCCUCCGUUCCUAAAUAUAAGUCAUUUUAGAGGUUCCACUAGGGGACUACAUACGGAUGUAUAUAGACAUAUUUUAGAUUGUAGAUUCACUCAUUUUACUCCAUAUGUAGACUCCUAGUGAAAUAUCUUAAAAGACUUAUAUUUAGGAACGGAGGGAGUAUAAAAAUUAUAUCAUUAAAAAAAUAAAACAUCUAAAGUUUUUAAUGAUAUAUUUUUUGUAAUAUAUGAUUAUCAUUAAGUUGGUCAAAUUGACGACCUAGGUACACGUGCCAGACUUAUAAACUGAGAUGGAGGGAGUACCAUGAAAGGUUGAAUAAACAGGCUUCUAAUUUUUUUAUAGCAUUAUGGCACCUUCACCAUGACACUAAUAUAAUACCUACCUAAAUGACAUUCACAGAACCACCAGGACCAAACAGUUCUCACAGCUCACUGGUGGGGCCUCAGACUUGUUCUAUAGCAAUAUUGUUGUACAUUAAGCUAUGCUACUAAGGUAAGUAAACAAAUGCAUAAUGUUCUCUCUGAGAACAUGUGCUAUAAAUGACUUCCCAAUAUAAACUAUUCGAUAGUUGAGCACCUUAAGCAGCCAAAGUAGAGAAUCCAAAUAGAAAUAGUUUGUGCCAGAAAAAUUAUUGUGCACAAAAGAGAUAUUGUGAAAGAACACAGUGAAAUCUUAUCUAUUCAAACCCAGACUGCCCUUGAACCAGAGCAAACAAGGAUGAACCAGACACAAGCACGUUGUGUGGAAUGGCACAUACAAACUAUAAGAUCUUGAUAUAAAUACUGUAUAUAUAACGAAAAAUAUUAAAAGUACAACCAUGGCCGAUGACCCAAGUACAACCAGUGACCCAGUGUACCGUGACCUCAGACGGCUGGCCAGGUUGAUGACCAGGCAAUGACUGAUAAGCGAUAGCAUUGGUUCUAUUUUGAGGUAGAUUUCCAAUAUUUUCAUUCCAGCAUAACAAAAUACUGAUAAAACAUAAAUAAAAUGUACAGUGAUGUCUAUCUCCAACGACUGAGGGCACUGAUGUAUUUUCGUGAUGUGGAUGUAAAAAAGUGCAUGCAGAAUGCAAAGAAAUUGGAAGGACGUAUCAGAAAAAAAGGGUCAGCUUGGGUGUUAUGAUGUAUCCUACUGGGAUUGGCUAUCAUAUAAAGUGAACACAAAAUUGGAACCGAGAAAAAAGAUAAGUUCAUUGAGAGAUGUAUCCAUGUUCACUUGUUGCAAAUAAAUAAGGAAUUUUAUACAAACAGAAAAUAAUAAUUUGUACUUCCUUUGGUUUUGAAAUUACUGUAUUAAUUUGGUUCUUCAACUGCCACAUAGGUCCACAACACCCUGCGAUCACAAGUGAUUGAACUGUGGGAAGUGGAACUCUCGACUAUGAAACACGGAGGCAUCAAUUGUCUUCUAUACCUCUUGCAACCAAGACUGAAUUUGAUGUCAGGUUUGGACAUGUGUGCUACAUCACAUCUAGGACAUCACUUAGUUUUCUCAAAUAAAAAUUAUACUUUCACCAUAUAUUUUUGUAUAAGGUGUUAAGAGAUAAUCCCUCUGUAAACUAAUAUAAGACUUUCCAUGUAUAGGAUGUCCUAUUCCCCAUUGAUACUGGCCCUUAGCCUCCAGGAAAUACAAGUUCUUAUUUCCUCACAUAUGGCACGUAUCACCAAUGUGUGUAGCAGAAUUUCACUACUUAUAUACUCCCUCCGUCCCAUAAUAUCAGAACGUUUUUGACACUAGUGUAGAUCAUAAUAUUAGUGAAGAAUGUGCCAAGUGAACAAUAAGGAUAGAGAACAUCUUGAACGAUCACUACUUUGCAAAAAAUGCGCCGGGUGAAAAAUAAGGAUAAAAAGCAUAUGAGCGACCAUGAUAGUUGCCAAAACAAAUGCUCAGGAAAGAACAUCAGGACUCGUGAAGAACAAAACAUUACCUGUGUCAUUGAACGAAGCGCUGUCGAAUAUCCAAACAUAUUGUUUAGUGGAACCUGAAAGAGAGCAGGACGAGAGGCUAAGUACAAUAACAAUGCACAAGGUAAUUGGCCUUAACAUGGACAUCUACAUUAUGAAUUUCACAAUAUACCUGUUCCUCUUAUAUAGUCUACUGAUCUGACACGUUCAUUAUGUGAAAAUGUUGUCCUAGCUGUUGUUCGUGUAGAUUAGUGGAACCUCCCACCCGUAACCCGUCACCGACUACCCAUUAGAAAACUUAUAUUUAUUGUUACGAGGGUAAUACUGCAAUUGAUUUCGUAAUGCUUCAGUUGUUCUCUUAGACACAUAUCGCUACAAACUACAGAAAAGCCAAAGCUACCAACAUCGAUUACUACAAUCAUUCAUGACCAAUACAACUAUCAAAUCUGGCAGUUUAUCACAAGACAAUACUGUAGUAUUAUCCGUGCUACAUGAGGCAAGAAACCGAAAGGAACAAGGAUUACGUACAUGGCAUACUACAACUGUGUCAUCGCCUUCCUGGUCAUUUCCAACAAUAAUACCUUUUCUCCUGUUUACCACACAAAACAAAAGAAAUAUACUUAGUAUGGUUUGAAGGAUUGAACUGAUGAGUAUACAAAAAAAAAUCCAUAGCACCCAUGGAAGUCAGUUUGCCAAAAAAUCACAAGGUGUCAAUAUGUUCUGAUCCCAGAACCAAUUUAUCACUACCAUGGCCUAUGGUACUCCAGAAAAUUGUGCCUUUUCAGGUGUUAAGGAGGCAAUUAUCCUUUUAAAGUGAAUUGCAUGCAAGUAUCUGCAUUUCUUGAAUAGAAAAGGAAAAUUUAGAUGAAUCAUCCGCUAACCAUACAUCUCAGUACAAGCAUAGCUUGUUGGCAUUAAAAAAACUCACUUGUUUAUGUCACCAGUUACUGUGCCCUGGAACUCUGUUGGAAAUUUUAGUUCCACCUUCAUCACAGGCUCUAAUAUAACAGGUUUAGCAGCAGUAUAACACUGGAAAAAAAGAACAAAUUUAUGAAUAACGCUUGCAUUCGCAUUGUAGCAGUGCAACAAUCGCUAGAAAUGACAAGCAACUAGGCUCACCUGUCUAAAAGCAUAGAUAGCAGCUAGCUUAAACGCAAGCUCACUGGAAUCGACUUGAUGUGAAGCCCCAUCAGUCAGUGUAAUCCUAAUAUUCUCGACAGGAUGCCCUAUUAAUGAACCCCUGCAGUAGCCAGCAUGCAAACAAAAAUUAAAACUCCACAAACAAAAUGUGGAAUAGCUAAACUAGUGUGGAAGAGAUGGACUCACGAAUUGCAAGCCUCCUUGAAACCCUUCUCAAUCGCUGGUAUGAAGUUGGACGGAAUUGCUUGUCCAAUAAUCAUGUUCUCAAAUUCGAAUUUACCUUCAGCAUCUGCUGGAAGAGGCUCAAUGUACCUGCAUAUUCCUGCUUCUUAUCAUGAAGCUCCAAAUGAAAAAUCCUAAAUAUUUAUUCGCAUAACCAAACUAAGCCACUAAGGUAAGGUAAACUGGGAGCGCCACUUUUCUAGUUAAAUUUGGCAGGUCUUAACUCCACUUUGGUGCACAGGUAUAUUCAUGCUCUUAGCACAUUUACAAGCUGUUGAAAAGUAGAAGAUCAGGAAAGGGCCAACUGUCCAAUCAUCAUUGAGUUUCCUCUCGCAUGAAGUCCACUAAAACAAAACAGCAGCAAAGACCAGGAGAGGUAAGGAAAUGGCAUCACGGUGGUUGUGGAAACAAAACAGCAGCGGCAGCGAUGAGUGCUACUGUGCUAGGGACAGUCAAUGAUAGAGCGCUAGGCAAUACGAAUCAGCAAUCAGGAGCAAGUGAUGAAUAGCAACUAAGGUUUCAAAUAAAAUACUUUGUAACUCUCCCCAAUCAUUACCUUAUUUUCCUUAUCAGUAAAUACUUUUCCCAAUAUAUCAAGGUGAUGGGCCUCUACAAGGAGGUGCAGAAGCAGAUGGAUAAGAUUAUUUGGGGUUCCUUUGGACAGGCAGAACAGCCGCAUGCGGCGAUCACAGCCACGUCAACUGGAACAAGGCUUGUCGUACAAUGACGUCUGAGGCCUCGGCAUCCAUGAGCUGUCCAAGACCACGAUCGGUCUGAGGGUGUGUUGGAUUUCAAGGAUAGUACUGACCCUUUCCACCGCUGGUGAGAGCUUGACAUUCGAUUCUCAAAAGAUGAUGGUACACGUUUUGCUGCAUCGACCAAAGUGGUGAUUGGCGACAGGACAACCACACUUUCUUGGGAAACAUCGAUGGCUAGGCGGUCAAGCGGUCAUCGAGAACACACCCGAACACUACAGUCUUGUUCCUAGGCGGACCACGAAGAGGCAGACCAUGCUGGAGGUGCUGCAGGACAGGCCUUGGAUCACUGAUAUCAAAGGGAAAUACCUUCCCUUAUGAGCUCCAAAAGUUGGGUAACUAAAGUGAUCCUACUCAAUCUCAACACCAGAUCAGAGAAGAAAUAUUAGAUUGACAGCACACUCAUGACACCCAUAUCAGUGAACUGUGUGCGCUGUUGCCACAAAAAUAGACAACAGAAACAUUACGGGCUCACUUCAACUGUUGUAAUACACAUCAUUCAGGAGAUAAAGAAAAGUACAUGUGGUCACAGGAGCGUAAUCCAAAACUUACAGACAGAAGUCCAACAUAAUAUCAACAAGGAGAAUUCAGUUCAUAGGUAAAAUGUACAUGAGUGUGCUACAAAACUAGAGGAUCUGGCUUCUAUUUAUAGGCAUGAAGUGGCCUUAACAACAAAUCAUAAACAUCUUUUAAUGGAACCUAUACUCCUAGACUAGAAGCCAUGAUAUUGAGUGUGGCGAUUUGGCGAACGGGCGUGCGUGCUCACGCUAUGUGGCGUGUAGGUACAGGUGGAGCAGUGCGGCGCCAGUCAGGGUUGUAUACAACAGAAGUCCAGUGGGCUAGAUGUGGGAACGACGACUCCAUGGCCGUGAUUAUAGCGGGGGCUACGUGUACCGGCGGUACAUGAUGGGGCUUGCACGCCGUGCCGCUGCCGACUCUAAACGGGUAUACGCGUAUGUGAUGAUUGGAAUCUACGGGGUCCGAAAGGCAAACUUGGAUGUGUCCACCGAGGGAGAGUUUUUCAGGGUGCCUACCGAGGCAGAGUUGCUAUGAGGACACGGUCAUGGAGCUUGCUUUUGAGUUCUUAUCAGAUCCGAGUGACCCUGCUAUGAGCUUGCUCCUCUGAUUUUCCAUGUGCCCGGCAAUGUGGUCAUGUGGGUUGCUGUCACAGGUUCCCCGUGCCGUCGGCGAGAGAGGAAACCAGGAACCUGGCGUUGUGCGCCACCAUGGUUCGGGGUUUUGGCGGCGGCGAGUAGCUCUUGCGGAGAAGUUCGCCCUGGCGUUGUGUCACACGUCCUAGGUCGACAGCGGCAGCGCGAUAGUUGACGACUCUGGCCACUCGAUGGGGAAAGACGACCCACAGACACCAGGAUGGACUCUAGAGGUCAGCUCUCCAUCGGCAAUGCAUAUGUUGAUCUAUAUAUGUGCAGGGGUGUUCCCAAUCUGACCUUGUAGUACAUAAGAGAGGACAUGAUUUUCAGUGCUUUUAAUGCAGAGUUUCUUUCUGUUUGAUGCAGAGUUCGCUUUUGGGAGAGAGGACUGAAUUUCUUGUGUUGUGUUUUCUGUUUCUGUAGAGCCUGUUUGUGUGCGUAACUUGAUGGACCAUGUUAUUCGAUGUACAGAUGAGUGUCGUGCAUUUACCCCGCUGGCUGCUACAAGGGAAGGGUUGGGUCUGGAGGACCGGCUUGAGACUAAUCUGGUACCUCUGCAAUAUGUUGCUGAGGUAGCUUGUGAUGGUAUGUCCGGGGCCCGGGGGCAGUGAUGCCGAAGGCAGUGCCAACGGUAAUCUGGCUGGCCUAUCUGCACCAUUACAGUAACGAAAGGUUGGGACCAACUAGUAGCGAUGACAGGGCAUUCAAAAACUAAAAUGAAGAAAAACCUUUGUGAGGCAGCUGAUGGUGGUACCAGCAAGCCCAAUCGGUUCUGCACAAUCUGCGAGCAGCCAGGGCGCAAGAGCACGACGUGCUUGGACAGGGGGGGCCACCAGAGGAACACUUGCAGCAAUCCUAACGUAUUGAGUAGGGUAAUGAUUUGUAUCAAAUUUUCGAAUUUGUGUAACUAUGGGAUUGUGCUGGCUGAAUAAACGUGUAACUUCAAGAAGCAUAGUAUGUCCAGUGGCAUGUGUGGAAACAAGGUAUACAAAAUGAUUUUGCAGACCGGCCAAACAACAAGUGCAACCCAUGUCAAACUCGGCCGUGAGUACAAGAUGCAACUCCCGUCACUAGAUGGCCAUCCAAACGACGUUACGGCACUAGGUUCUCCACCCGUUAGUACAUUAAAAGCAACUCUGUCCCAUAGCCUAUGCUGUGUCAGAUCUCAAAGAUGUUGAACGGUGCACGAUAACGUGACCAGGCGAGGACGAGCACCCCUCUGAAUUUUCGCGAUGAUACUGUACUAAUUAAUGACUAAAGAGAACGUGUCAUCACCAAACUGGCAAAUUUAAAAGGCAAGGGUAAGUAUUCUAUAAUGGUGGAAGCUUUCCUCACCAGUGAAAACAUUAUUAUAGGGGGGUGUUCUUACAUUCUCCAUUUAGGUGAAGUAUCUUCCAUGACAUUAUAUGAAGUGGCUGGAUUACUACAUUCAUUGAUAUUUGCUGGACCUAGGUAUCCAGGCUCCCUUGAGGCAACUUACAGUGCCAGGGCGCUGGCCUUAGGUAUCCAGGCUCCCUUGAGGCAACUUACAGUGCCAGGACGCGGUUCCAACCUUGUUCUACUCCGGCAACACUUUCCACACUAUCCAAUACUGUCUUACAAGUGGGAAUGGGGAGUAGGAAUACAUCCAGUAAAGAUGCAGCUAAAACAUGUAAUAACAGCAGAUGUCCCAUAUAUAUGCAUCACAAAGUAAUAACUUUCCUGAAGCGAACAAAAUCGGAUAAAAGAAAGUAAUGGAAAUUGAUUUGCGGGUGAUUAUUUAAUUUGAAUGAACUCACCCACAAACUCGCCCAUAUUGACCUUGACCACCAGAUUGCUUUUUGUGCAAGUAAUCAAAUUCAGCACGCUGGGUGAUCGAUUCCCGGAAGUUCACACGAGGUUUCCCAACUUUUGCAUCAACCUACAUAAGUUAAAAACAUGUUACAUCUAUUCAAUUUCAACAGAUAUAGGUGUACAGUGAGUCAGACAUCGACAUUCAUCGUAGGAAUAUCAUGCACUUAAUGAAAAUUGUCAACAUAGAAGCAUAUCAAAAAAGCUCAAUAGAGCAGGCACGUAGCAAUAUUUCCCAACUCUGAAAUGUAGUUCUCAGUAGGACCACACUACAUGAACAUACGGGAUGUCUGCUCUUGGCAGGUUAUAACAAAUACACCAGGACACGUCAUCAAUAUGGCCCAGCCCAGUAGCAACACAUAUAAGCACCCAACCCUAAUUCCUUUCAGGACUAUGUUUCCAGUCCACCCAUGACUCCAGACUGGACACUUCACAGACAGAGAGGAGAUGCAACGGCAAUGGGGUCUCUCAUGAGGCCACAGUGGCACUUCGGCUAUGGAGCGCCAACGGAUACGGAACUGCCAUCCUUCCUAUCGUGUCCCUCAGACUUGCUUUCUCUUCAUUUCUUUCAUUUUUUAUCGGAGUGGUAGUGGAGAGACGUAUUAGACAUAUCUGCAGUUCCAUCUUUCAUACUUCUAGAUCUAACUGUUAAGCUUCCCCUCCUGAUCACGUUUUCCUUUUAGUACUUUGCAAAUGGAAAUACACCUAGAGGUGUGCAGAAUGCAGCCACAUUUGGCGUGGGUGUUUCUGAGCUUGCUAACCUCUCGUGAUGAGCAAGAUUUGGAAGAAGUGCUAUCUAAAGGAGGUGAUUUUCAGUCAUCUUAACGAACAACCUAGGUUGCCGCUUUUUAAUUUCCAUAGCGCUGCCAUGUACUUACGUGGUGUUAAGAAGAGGAACGGAAAACUUGGAUGUCUAUUCACUUGGAAAAUAAAGUUUGUUUCAACUCUGAUUGUAGAACUUCUAGUUCGUAUAUCCGUUUUGUUGAAGCAUAACGUUUGAACUGUAACUGUUGUUGUACAGCCGCCUUGGCUCCUUGCUGCUGCCAACCUAGUGCCUUGCACUAGUUAGAACACUGCAGUUAAAUGGAUGGAAUGUGUUUCCUAGAGGUGGAACAGUUUACCCAUUACUACUCCCUCCGUUACAAAAUAUAGUGCAUAUAGAUUUUGUCCAAGAUAAACUAUGUAAAGUUUGACCAAGCUUAUGUAGACAGAAAAUAUCAACAUAUACAUUACCAAACCAAUAUACAAAUUUUGUCCAGGUACAAUGUUUACAAAUUUUAUAGAACAAAUAUCAACAUUUACAAUACCUAAUCAAUAUGGAACGGAGAGAGUAAUACUUUGUUAUUUCCUAAAUGAUAUUUUAUAAUCAGUGUAGUUAAACAGAGAAAGUUUUGACCAUCAGCAUAUACAAAAUUAUCUUGACCCAUAUUAUCAGUUUAGUAAAUAUCAAUAUUUACUAAUGAAUGAUAUAGAAAUUAAUGAUCAAAGUACCACCUCGAAGACUGUUGACCUAGAAGACAGAGUAGAUGACAUGUGUUCAAGGAUAAGACAAUAUAUGAGAAUAAAACUAAACAUAGACUAAUAUAACAGUAUCUUGAGGCGUUAAUUUAAGCAAUAUGGGAAUGCAAAAAUUAGGCUUGGUAGCUGUUUGCUGCCCAUGCCCAAGCCAAGCCAAAACUGCAAAUGAACUUUCCAUGCUGUCAAGAAUAAAACCGAUCAAGUGUGUUGCUGUAUUAUGUUGUGGGCAUCUGUACUUUCCCUGCUCCCUAGAGGCCAGAAAUCAGAUCAGGAUUAUGUGCGGCCCUAUGGUGUUUUGGCAUGAGUCACCAAGUGGAAUGGUGGGUCCGACCCGUACUAAGGCCUCAUUCUUAUGCUUGGUACGUAGCUAGAACCGGAACCGACUCAUUCCCACCAAGGGAAUAUUCGGCCCAGAUCCAUAACCGAGCCGUUCCUCCAAAUCGAUGGAACGACACGGAACGCUGCCUCGCCUUGCACUCACUUGUCGACUCUCCCUCUCUGGCACGAGACCCUAUCUCCUCUCUAUCGAUCUGCGCCUCCGGCUGCUCCUCUCCCCAGUGACUAGACCUGAUCUGCUAGGGACCAGGCCUGAUCUGCUAGGGACCAGGCGGCGGCGACUUGACCUAACCUUCCGGGGGCUGCAACGGCCACCUCUCUCACGCGACCACUGCAUCGCCGCCGGCUGCAAGAGCAGCAGCCACUGCUUCCAGCUUGUCGUCCCCUAGCAGAUCACGUCUCCGCCAGUCGGAUCGACAGGGGCUCUUCUGGAGCUCCUAUCUCAAGGUCAGCAGCAAGAGCGUUGCUGUGUUUAAUGUUGCCUAGCAAAUAUUGCAUGGUUCCAUCUAUGAGCAUUUUUUUCUCGAUUGAAAAAAAAAAUCAAUGCAAGUAUUCAAAGUAAAAUAGAAUGUGGCCUCUGUCUGUUUGAGCAAAACUAUGCCAUGUUUGGGCAAAACACUUCAUAUUUAUUCAUAUUGUAUAUAUGCACGUGAGAGGCAACCUCACCGUUUUUAUACAAGAGGUGCUGAAUUCAUUCUGUUCCAUUUCUCAAACUAAACACUGAAACGUAACCAUUCCGUUCUACCAAAUAUCCCCAACCAAACACGGGAACGGAAGCGACCCAUUCCAGUGGAAUGGAAUCAUGACAUGAUAUUCCACUUCGUUCCCAAACCAAACACACAUUGAAACAAAGAAAAAAUAAAGAGGCUGCAAUAGCUGAACUAGCUCAUAAAAGCAAACUAGACAAGGAUUUACUCAACACUUCUAAUGGUGCAGCUCAUAUAGCAAGCUUCAAGUCAAGCAGGGAGACCAAGUAUAUCCUUGAAACAAUUGUUUGUGUACCUUGUACUCUCUCCUGAUGCGUUCAACAUAGAUAUCCAAAUGCAACUCACCCAUACCAGAAAUGAUUGUCUGCAAGUACAAAGUACGCUUUAGAAACUACACAAUAAUGAUAGAAUAAAGCAAACAUGAUAGAUGGAAGAACAAACCUGUCCACUCUCUGGAUCCAGACCUACACGGAAAGUAGGAUCUUCUCUCUGGAAUCGAUUCAGUGCCUUUGAAAACUGAAAUAUUAUAGUAAUUAAUUAUUCAAGAAAGUUCAGAUAUCAAAUAUGACACAUUAAUCUUUAAAGCAACAGAUGAGUUACUUGUCCUCCAGAAUCUUUAGAUAUCGGGUUAACAGCCAAGGACAUCACAGGUUCAGCGACAUGCAUUGAUGUCAUAGUAUAUUUGACCGACCCAUCGGUAAAUGUAUCACCUGUUGAUGCAAAAAGCUGGGAAUCAGGCACUGAAGAAAUCUAAUAGAUGGUACUCCCUCUGAUCCAUAUUACUUGUGGCUCAAACGGAUGUAUCUAGACGUAUUUCAGUGCUAGAAACAUCUGUUUGAGCGACAAGUAAUAUGGAUUGGAGGGAGUAGCAUAACCUGGAAAAGUUACAGCACAGAAAAGAUUUUGAAUAUUACGUUGCUAAUAAUUUACCUGACGCGCAAUCAACACCAAACACAGCAACAAUUUGGCCAGCAUGUGCUUCUUGAAUAUCCUAUAUUGACCGCAAAGAAUUAAGAUACUAGCUAACAAAUUGAUUUUAUCGUAAAGAAUAGCCAUCGAUGUUGAUCUGAACAGUUAAUGUUUCAAGCGUUAACUUCAACAUAACGUGCAACUUACCUCCAUCUCAUUGGAGUGCAUCCUUACUAAUCGUGGAACCUAGACACGGUGAACAGCACUUAGAUCAGAUAAGACAAACCUUCUGAAAUUCUCAUAACCAACAAUUGAAAGUAAAGGCGAUAAGUCAGACUGAAAGCAUCUAUUGCUCUCCUGAUAUGAUUGCUAUUUUCUAUGAAAAUUCAGGCCUAAUUAGAUGUUCUGUAAUAUUUAGCCUUUAAUAGUUGGAACCAAUGUGUAAAAUCUUCAGACUUAGAUUUGUAACCAGGCAAAUGAUGUGCAAUUAUGAUAUUUCAUGUCAAAGCAUCUACUUUAGUUUACCAACACAAAUAUGCAAUAUAACAACUACCAUACUAAACAUAAUUACAAAUAACGAAUAUGUUACAUAAAGUCCAAUUUUUCUUCUUCUGCUGUAGCAUGGCAAGUAUGUUCACCAGUGGUCACAGAUUCACAACUGUAACAGCUCUAUAGGAUACACAGUCAAAAGUCAGGAGUGCUAUAGUACACUAUUUUGAAUACUACUCUAUUUAACCCUUUUUUUGUUUUUCUCUUCGAUUAAAGUAAGUCCCUCUCAUUUCUUCAUAGAUCAAUCUAUAGUAGUGUAUGCCCCUCAAAGUAGAAAAUAUUGGCAUUGUCAACUGUUAAAAGUGUGUGCUGAAAGAACAAUAUGACAAUUUGGCAACUACAGCUUCAACGUCCUCACUGGGACUUGGUAUUAAGUCUGGGUCUUACUUUGAUCUUUUUUCCUGUAUUCACAUUCUGUAUGAAGUCACCCUUCCGAAUCACACCUUCAUAGAUUCUAGACAGGCAAUAAGAAAUAAUUAGUUGAGAAGCGAAAUAAUAAUACCCGUGUCCAAUAAGAAUAACAAUGCAUGAUAAUGCAACAAACUCAGUUUGUAGAAGAUCCACAAUCACCUUAGAUAUGUCAGCUGACCAAAACGACCUUCCUCAAGCUUAAAGGCUAAUGCUACAAGUGGACCAGCUGGAGUUCCAGAUAAGGAGACCUAACCAUCAAACCAGGUGGCAAUUCAUUAUGAAAGCUAAUAAAAAGAAAUAAGAGCUUCAUCAACAUAACAGGCAGAUAAAGUACAAACGCUAUUUACUCACAGAAAACUUCACGGCCUUUAUCUACUUUACAUAUUUUCCAUCUCUCCUCACUUCUGGCUUUGUAGGAUGAGUGGUGGAAGAUGGAAAGUGCAGUAAAGCGCAUAAAGGAGAAACAUGUGUUCCAUAUCUACUAUAUUAAAUGUAUUGGGGAGACCGUGUUCUACCUUCUCUUCUGACUUGUUUUGGUCAAGAGCAAAGUUCUCAACUUCCAGUGGGCAGGGUAGAUAGUCAAGCACGCCAUUAAGAAGAGGUUGAACACCCUAUAAAACCAGUCAAAAAAAUAAAAAAUGUAAGCAAUGAAACACCAACGACAAAUUUGUUGUAUUUCACACUUAGCAACCUAGCGUUAACAACAGUACAAUACAGAUGCCAACAGCAGGUUCUUACACAAGUACUAGCGCAAGAGUGCUCAUAACUGUGAACAAUCUUAUCUACACCUAAACCACCAAAGUAUGACAAUCAGUACAAUACACAAUCUUAAUGUGAUCAUUCUAGUGAAUAGGCAAUGCACCUCUAUGUUUACAUGCAAUUUGGCUAUAUAUUCUAUAACUUUGCUGGCAAAGGGAGACAACAAACGCAAAGCAAAGGCUCAAUUAUGUUACUAUCCUUAUACACUUCUUUAUAGUCAGGCUCUAAUGACUUUCAUGACGCGCAUGCAUGAGAGCAAUGUUUAAUCUACAGUACUCCAAUGAGCCGGUAUAAGGUAAUUACAAAUAGUAAAAUGGAUCUGACUAUCAAGGUCCUAGCUCAAACGUCAGUAUCCUUUUCAUGUUCGUCGUUUGCUUGUAAUCGCAAUGCUGUGCUCCAUUGAGUGCUUAAGGACGACCCCUGGAAUUACAAGGCCCUAACAGCAGUUAUACUCCAGGAAAGGUUACACGAUGAGGAUUGGUGGCUACAAGGAUCUCCGAGAUUCAUACAUGAUAGACGACACCGUAAAAAAAUUGACAUAAAACAAAUGCCCAAUUUUGUAGCACUUAAAAUAGCAGCAAGAUUGUAUGCCUUUGGUUGUUUGGAACAAUGUCUCUUACUCUAGCAAUACUGCUAACUGAUUAAGUAAUCAAAUUGUUGUAUCAACUCUUCUCUUUAAUUGAUCGUUUUAUGCAGAUCAUUUUGUCAAAUGUUAUUCUUUAAUCUCUUUCUUUAGUAUUGGUCGAGCAGUACUUGGUUUCAUCUAAUUCGCUGCUGUUAAUUUACCAGGGUUCAAGAAUGAGCCCGGCACUAGGCAGGUGAAUCAGGUGAGAUGAUCUUGCGCCAGCUGAUUAGGUUGUACCUAGGCUACGCCUAGGAACUGCACUGCAGGGGAGCAAGGAAGAGCUUUGGGGCUUGAAGGCGAGGGAGGCACUUCAAGAAGAGGCCAUAGAAGCGAUGAGCCUGACAUCAAGGCUGGAACGCAGAGGCAUGGGGAAUUUUGAGAUCGAGAACAAGGUUGCCUCGGUGAAGAUCGAUAACAGACAUGGCAGGUCCAGGUGAUGGCACAGGGAAAACGGUGACUCGGAUCAGGUCGACAAAGGGCCGCGUAAAAAAAACUAGCUUCCUAGCACAUGUUCCAACAAGAUUUCACUUUCCGAAACCAAAGUAACAUUUCUUGGGCAAUUAGUCUUAAAUUGUAACCAUUCUUGCAUUGCAAAUAGAUGACAUCCUCCUAGAAAGUGUGCGGUUGAACUUCUCUGGCUUCAACUCGUGCAUAUGGGAAAGAAGUUUAGAGUGAAGUGAAAAUAGCAUCAGUAGUUUUUCACAAAAAAUAUUUUGAAAGCAUAGUGUUAUUUUUAAUCUUUUACUAGCAUAUUCAUAAUAGUAUUAACAGUAUAAGUUGCAUGUUGGAAACUGUAGACCUUUGCCCUACGUCCAUAACAGCGUCUAUUAGCAAAGACAGAGACUAUAAGUUUACUUCUUAUAUUAUUAAUACAUACUCCCUCCGUCCCAAAAUAAGUGUCUCAACUUUAUACUAGCUCUAGUACAAAGUUGUACUAAGCUUGAGACAUUUAUUUUGGGACGGAGGGAGUAUUCAAUAAGGCUGUGUCCUUUUCAGUAUUACUGACACAUGAAACUGUAAAUCUUCUUAUAAUAAAGAUCUAAGUUCGUGGAGUUCCGUCCACCCUGUAAGUUACUAGGAAUUGCCACAGUUGUUAUCCAUUCUAUCAAGGGCAUAUAUGGUUGAUUCGAUUAAUGUAUAUUUUAAGAUAAAAAGUUUAUUUUACAAAAACUCAGGGACUAUGGUGGGACAAGCUUUUAAACAACUAAUAAUCUAUAACAAAAAUAACUUCAAACAUUUAACUAGUAAAUGAAAAGAACCAGACAAAGGACGGAAAAUGCAGCCAUGGACCUUAUUUUUGAAUGCACUCCCCAUGUAAACUGGUAUAAACUUGCGCGCUACGGUUGCCCUUCUGAUAGCAGCCUGGUCGAAAAGAAAAGAGAACACCAAAGACAUGGAAAUCAGUCGGGGGGAAAUGGCGUUAUCAAUAUUAUGCUAUUCCUAAAAGACAAUAUGAUACAGUUCAAGAAAUCAGGAAAGGUAUUAUUUGAAGUAGGUUUUGAACAAUAAUUCAUGUAAAUAGAAAUAUAGAAUUGGAACUAUCACAAGGUUAAAGUACAUAACUUUACAGAAUUUCAAACAUGUGAGGACAGUAGACUCCAUAUAUUAAACAUUAUACUUUAUAUGAAAUUCCCAAUACUUGUUAAAAAACAUUGGUGGAUUUUCGACUUCAGCAUUGUCAUUUCUAUUAAAAUCUGGUUAUUACGAAAACCACCAGCAACAGACUGCGCGUUUCUUUUUCAACCAACAAAACCUACUGACACCGCAUGCAUUCAGUAAUAAAUCUUAUAGCUUGAGACAAUGUAAGUUAGCAGUACUAAACAUGAUCACCAGAUAAUCAGAAUCAUUUUCAAAAUGACUUACCAUUCAUGCCACGCUCUAACAACCGGCUUAGGAAAAAAUCCACUAUCUAGCCAUCACAAUUCCUUUCAUAUGGCUUCUUAAUUCUAAAAUUAAGCACAUUUUACCAGUGUUGAACUUUUCAAGAAAUUCAUUAAACCUUGGGACUAUAAAACCAAGUACUUAAACCCAAAACUAUUUUCAUUUCCACCCUGAGUCAGCUUUGGAGCAUGGUUUCACUGACAAAUAUCACCAAGUAUUUAAACCCAAACACUUUUGCCUCCAUGGUUUCACCGGCAUGGACGCAAUUUAUGUGUGUACAAUUUAUAUUACCAAAUUUUGCUACAGUGGCAUCCCAGGCAUUUUUAGCAAAUAAAAACAUCCUCCAAGAAAUAAAAGGAAUUGAAGUCCUCAAUAAGUAAAUCAUCUUCGUAGAUUGCUAACUUGAUAUUGCAAAAAUAUUUGAUCACACAAACUGCAAUAUUCAAGGGGGUAAAAUCGUCCUGUUCCUUCAACAUGAUUGCUUUUUAGCAGCUACAGCUACAUCCAUUUCAAAAGAUGUAGCUAUAAUCUGGAAUGAUUUUCAGAUGGAUUGUAUGCUUAUAUAGUGAUUUCAUGAAAUGAUAUACGCAUAUAGAUACAAAAGAAAUUAAUAAUGGACGUUGGAUGAACCUUAAGCUCAUUAGCUGUUAUUGGCUCAUCAUUGAGAAAAGCUUCUGCAAGCUGGUCAUCGACUUCUGAAACAACUUCAAUAAGUUCACGUCGUUUGUCCAUUACAAAAUCUUGCAUGUUGGAUGGGACAUCAGAUGCAACAACCUCCUGUCUGCACAUUACAAACGAUGUGUCAUCCGAGAUUCCAGAUACUAAUAGCUCUCACAACUAAAUGCUUGUAAGAACAGGGACACACCCACUUCCACCCUCGAACUUCAAAGCCUUCAACUCCACAAGAUCCACAAGGCCCUCAAACUCCUCUUCCAAUCCUAUCGGCACUUGUACAGCUGCACUCUGGUGCCGUAGUUUGGCUCGUGCCUUCAGUAGAACACAAAAGCAAAACUCAGCUAUAGAAACUGAUAGCAACAACAGACAAGUGCAAGACACGUCACAGAACUAUAAAAACUGAACAUUAUCAGAAAAAAAAAUGGGAAGCCUGAAAGUGAACAUGACAAUGAUGCUUUCGAGUAGUAUCAAAAUGCAGCAACUCUAGCAUUAAGAUGUAAGCCUGGUCCACAUUGCAGAUACUAAAAAAGAAUACAAAGCCAGCCCUUGCACUUGUGAAGUCCCUGUUUUCCCCUUUUAUUUUGAACCGCCUAACUCAUACCUUGUACUUCCAAAAAGAUAAAACAUGAGCUUGUUUAGCCAUGAAGGGCAUUAAAUAUUCAAAAUGAACACAGGACAUCGGUGCAUUUCAGAUAGCACUUCAUGCAAAGCAAAGUAGCAAAUACUUGACAGCUAUUCCAACAGAAUUCAAAUGCAAUAGGAAGGGUAUUUAUUGUCUUGACCUUCCCUGUAUUAAACACGAUAAGGAUAGUGAUCUAGCAGUACGAUACUACCAUGGCAUACAGAGGUGUGUCCUCACAGAAAAUAUACAACGUAAAGACAUGGAACACAGACUUUUACCCACUCCCAGCAGGAGGGGGAAAUCCAGCAUGAAAGGAGAGAAGGGACAUUUUGCAUAAGCCUCUCACCCCUCAUAUAUGAUGAGAGAGCAUCCGUGCAUAUAGACCAUAGAAAUCAGACUCAUGCUCACCUGGUUGAGAACUCUCCAGGGAUCAGCUCCCAUGCGGUCCAACUUAUUAAUAAAUGCAACCCUUGGAAUUUCAUAUCUUUUCAUUUGUCGAUCAACAGUAAUCGAUUGACUUUGUACACCACCAACACUACAUAGCACAAGUAUAGCACCAUCAAGAACACGAAGGGCUCUUUCAACCUCAACAGUGAAAUCCACGUGACCUGGGGUAUCAAUGAUAUUAAUCUGCAACAAUAGAACCCAAGAACAGUGUAAGAUGGGUCAAAACAAAAGCAUUCAGACAGGACAAUACAAGGGAUAGUGAUCAAUGGUGGUAUACAUGACGACAAAAAAAAUUGCUUCUGGGAGGCAGUUCUAAAGUUCUAGUGGUAGUAGGUAUGUGCAUGGUUUUGAUGUAUCUGCUUCAACCAAUCAUACUGACCCCAGCCCACAGAUCCUAGUUUGAAGCCCAGUGGCAGGGGUAGAUGUGUUUGGGGCAAAAAAAAAAAACAGCUUAUAAAGAAAGCGGGUGGGAGUAGCAUGAGUUGACUCGGGUAGCUCAUUCAACUCACAUCUUUAGUUGCCACUUGCCAUGAAACUGAUGCCUAUCAAAACCACUCCUUCGAUUCUUUUGAAUGGCCUACUAUCAUGAAGCAAUUAUGUCUCCACUAAUAAUAGCUCGGGAGAAUUCACAUGUGGUACUCCACUUGAAAAAGAAUAAUGGCUAUUUGGUAUUAGCUGGCAACUCAUCCAUGUUCGGCAAUUUACAUCUCUAUCAUGUGGAUAUUUGCCAUUUGCUCCGUUCCUCACCUGAUCAUGGUUUUGGUAUAGUUAACGGGGCUACUUCAUUUGUGGCAUCAACAAUGCUUACGUGUUUAAGAAUGAAACCAUCAAUCACAUUCUCCUUACAUCUUUUUCUUUUGCAAUUGUAUGAAUGACAUCACAUGGUAUUCUUGAUUGAUAGUUUUUCCAAUUUUCUUCUCACAUUUCAUAUUGCCUGGACAUGUUGUGGAGAAAGCAAAAGCCAACAGCCAACCUAGUUAAAUUAGCCUUCAUCUUUAUAUGCCUAACUCCUGAGAAGAAACAAUAAUUUGUAGGGAACACCGUGCUGGCACACAAAUCUAGUCUGAAAAUUGUUGACUAGACCACUUUAACAUGAUGCGGUACAUGCAUUCUAGAGACACCAAAGCUACGGGCAGCAAUUCUAAAGAUGAAUGAUCUGGUUCAGGAUCUCGAUGAAAUAUCGAAAAUAUUAGAAGGACAGAGUGAAAACACAAAAUUGCAACUAAUGAAUAGUAAUUACGGCAAGCAUAUAUAUUAGUGUGAAGCAUAAAUAUUGGUCAGCUUGGUUUUAAUAUUUAAAUUCCAGGUGAGAGGUUAAUAUUGCGAGUUCUUCAAUACCACAUGUUAGUUAACACUGAUAUAUCCAGGAGAGAAUAAGCUUUGCUACUCAGUUACCAAAUAGUAUCGUUGCAUGGUUAUACUUUCUAGAGCUCCGAGCUUGUAAGUUACUCCCUCCGUCCCANNNNNNNNNNNNNNNNNNNNNNNNNNNNNNNNNNNNNNNNNNNNNNNNNNNNNNNNNNNNNNNNNNNNNNNNNNNNNNNNNNNNNNNNNNNNNNNNNNNNNNNNNNNNNNNNNNNNNNNNNNNNNNNNNNNNNNNNNNNNNNNNNNNNNNNNNNNNNNNNNNNNNNNNNNNNNNNNNNNNNNNNNNNNNNNNNNNNNNNNNNNUGGGACGGAGGGAGUAGCAUUUACCAACCGCAUUUGGUGUAUAACCUUACACACCAGCCAAUUAAGCUUCUGAACCAUAUAUGUUAGUGCUUAAAGGAAACAAAGUUACAUAUGCUAUCUGUCUCGUACUGAUUAACAAAAAAUAGUUACAGUUAGUAGCCCCAAUGUUGGAAUGGCGUGAGGUAACAGCAUUAUUAUUUCACAGUUGAUUUGUCAUAUGAUUGGACAUUAACUCAAACCCCAAUGCAAAUUUCUUUUUUUUUCUUUUUUUCAAGAAAACGCAAAGUACCUUUGCCUUUCUUUGCAUUGAAAAGGUGAGAGUUCAGUUACAAGGGUCCAAGGGCGCGCAGAUUACAUCAUGAUCAGUGCACAUCCCAUGUUUGUAGGAUCACUGCCCUAAGGCCAGCUACAAAAAUGAGCAAGAAGAGGAGAGAAAUGGACCUGGUAUCCGCUCCAGGUACAGUAGGUAGCUGCCGACUGGAUGGUGAUGCCCUUUUCGCGCUCGAGGUCCAUGGAGUCCAUCUUUGCGCCUACGCCGUCGCGGCCACGCACCUCGUGGAUCUCGUGGAUCCGGCCGGUGUAGUACAGGACCCGCUCCGUCAGCGUCGUCUUCCCUGAGUCGAUGUGGGCGGAGAUACCGAUGUUCCGCAUCCGAUCCAUGGACUCGCGCCACCGCGCCAACUCCUUGUCGUCUCCCCGCGCCCGCAGAGCCGACGCCGAGGACAUCGCCCUGCGGGCCGACGCCGCUGCGGCCGCGGCCGCGGGCGAGGGGGCGUCAGCGAGGGGCUGGAGGAGGAGGGAGAAAGGGCGGAAGGAGGAGAGGAGGUGGGAGGCGGAACGCCGGGCCAUGGCCAUCGCCGCCUAGGAAUUCUGGCGGCGGCGGCGUGGAGGUUUUUGGCCUGGUUGAACUAAAACCCUAGGGAGUUGGUGUGAACAACAUGUAUCGUAGAGGUCAGAAUUCAGAAGUGCAUCUGGGCAUUGGGGAGGACUGACGGCGCAGGACAAAGCUACGUCCGCGAGACAUGUAUCUCUACUACCGAGUACCAGUUAAAAUGCUCGUGCGUUGCCACAAGACAAAAUAUGAAUAUACUAGACAUUAGUGAUAGCUCCCACAAAGAACAUGUCACACAUUCAAUUUACUCGCGCUAAAUAUCGGUGUCAUUCUUCCCGUUUACCCUUUCCGCAACAACCAAGCAUCCACUCCUUUCCAAUCCCAUCCCAACCUAAAUGACGUAUCAUGACAAAAAUACAAAAAAUAAUAUAAAUUAAGAUCUUCGUUGUACUAAAUCAUUUAAAACCUGCAAGCAAAACAACAACAAGAAGUGCUAAAAAUGAACCAAGCAUUAAGAUUCAUAAUUUUAUCAUACAAUUUACAUGAUACAUGAAAUCAAUGUUAUAAUUAAAUUAUAAUGUGCCCUGAGUGAAAACAAAAAUGUAUAAGAAAUUGGGGAAACUACAUUAGUGUGUAGAGCAUCCUAAGCUGCCACACCACCAACCCUCCUCGUCAAUAGUGAAUGGGAUACAUCUCUUCCUCUCACAUCCAAUGCAUACCAUUCAAAAUCUAAUCCUCAUGUUCCUAAUAUUUUCAUGCCGAGGCAUCAGAUUUGGAGCUCCAAGGUGGGGAAGAUGUUGCUUUUGCCACCAUCGUUACUUUUGUCCCAGCGACCACAUGAAGCAUAUCAACAAAAAAGUUUACAAGAGGUUGUAUCAAAUUCAGAAUCAAUCAUAUAUAUUUCCAUUCCUUUCAUUGCAUAGAGGCAAAGAUAUGAGUAUCACUUGAGAAUACAUCUGAAAAAUAAAAGCAUCAAUAUAGAAUAGUGACUUGUAAAAAGGUCAACUUUGAGACAAAACAAAACAUGUAGAAAUGAUGAAACGAGCAUCAGUGACAAAUCCUGACCAGUUCUAGCUCAUUGCCUCCGGAGCACCGUCAUCAGGUCCCGGCCUAUGCUUUGUGCUGCACGUUGUUGUUGUUCAUUGAAAAAAGAAUUAGCCUGAUGCCAUCAUAUAAUAGACAAGGAGGAGUAUUAUGAAGCUUGAAGAACAUAUCAACAUUGGAAUAUACAUAAAUAUUCAUUCUGCACAAUUAUUCAUUAGGUCCCUCAAUCUACCCACGUAAAGGUAUCAAAUUCUGAACCUACUGGAGCUAACUACGGCAUGUGUGUGCUAGUAUAUGCUAUCGAACUCUGAAACUGAUUUUGCACAUCCUAAAACUGAUUUUUGCACAGCUUAAAGGCAGAAACAUUCAGGAAUAGACUCAAAUUUGGCUGGUUGGGCAAUUGUUGUUGUUGUUGACCUGUAAACAAAGAAUUUUGCGAAUUCCCACCUGGCUGAGAGAUUCCAAAGAGGAGGUGAGANNNNNNNNNNNNNNNNNNNNNNNNNNNNNNNNNNNNNNNNNNNNNNNNNNNNNNNNNNNNNNNNNNNNNNNNNNNNNNNNNNNNNNNNNNNNNNNNNNNNNNNNNNNNNNNNNNNNNNNNNNNNNNNNNNNNNNNNNNNNNNNNNNNNNNNNNNNNNNNNNNNNNNNNNNNNNNNNNNNCCGGUUGACGCGGUCCUUGAACUUGGAGAGGAAGCACUCGUGGUCGUCGCCGACCGAGGCGAUGCACUGCUGCGCGCCCAGCUUGUCCGCGUUCACCUCCUUGAGCUCCCCCUCCGGCAUGGACAGCACCGCCGUCAUCCAAUCCAAAUUAAGCAGAUAUGAAGCAUGUUUAGACACGCUCGUCAUGUUAGACCCGAUAGCAUGACCCCAUCGCAAAUUGCAUCAAAUUCACCCGACAAAACUUUCGGAUCCGUUUGAUUUUGCUCUCUUCUUCCUCCUGUGGGUCGUCUGUCUCGCAGCUCCGUCGCCACGCGCGCUCCAUUGCCGUUCCUAGCCUCUGCCUCGGCAGCUCCGACAGAGCAGUCUUUUGUCCCAUCCUUGUCGCGGAGGACGUCUCUCCCGGUCCGAAAGAUACCAUGGUAACUUUGUGGCUCCGCAUUGCGCUCGAUGUGUUCGACACAAUUUCUGAACUGAUAAUUUGUCAAUUUUUUAGGAAAAUCGAUGGAUUCCAAUGCUUCGUCCGGCGAGGUGUAUGGACCGACGGAGCUUGAUCAAAUUAUUCAAGAUGAGCUCUUUGAUUCCACAGAUUUGGGUGAAGUAUUGGACAUGAUCAUGCUCAUGACCAUGCAAAAGGAAAUGAACCGCAAGCGGAGCAUAUUCUCAAUUCAAUGGCUUGAUCAAAGGGAGAAGAGUGAUCAAUCUGGAUAGGGUAUCCGGAGCAAAGCUACCGCAGAAGAAUUACUCUACUCCGAACCCAACUUUCUCGAAUGAUCUGUGGUUUCAUCGUCGUCUUCGUAUGCGAAAACCAUUGUUUUUACGCAUUGUGGACGGAGUGGAGGCACACGAUGACUAUUUCAAGCUCACAAGAGAUUGCUGGUCAACUAUUUUUCUCUGCCAAGCGAAAAUGCAUGGCUCCUCUGAGAAUGCUUGCACUUGGUACUGCGACAGAUGGCGUUGGUGAGAUGGUCAGGAUGGGGGAGAACACAUGCGUGAAGACUAAUCCAAUGAGUGCUUGGCUCCCUACAAACGAAGAUAAGAGUCACCUCGAAGACGAAGCUCAAGAGAUGAGUCACCUCGAAGAGAGAGAAGGAGUGGAGAAGAUCGUUAUGAAUGAAGACACUCACGGAGACACAAGGAAUCGGAAAAGAAGGACAAAUACACCAAGAGCAACUCAAGAAGAAUACAUCAAGCUCAUGUUGGUGAAUGGGUCUCUGGCUUCGAGUCUGACAACCAAUCCGAGAGAAGCUAUCACUCCAACUCCAACUAUAGUCAAGAUGAAGGUGUUGCCGGCAUUGCACUCGUUUCCUCCAACUCCUACGACUUAUUUGAUUCACAAAAUGAGGGAGUCGGGAACUGCUUCAUGGCUAAAGGCCCUAAGGUAUCACAUCCAGGGUAUCUUGAUUUCAACGGUGAUGAGGAUGACCUGUUAGGAUAAGAUGACUUGCUCUUUGAUAAAACUAGUGAUUGCAGUGAAAAUGAACUUGCUAAUUAUCAUGCUAGUCAAGAGAAAUCGAAUGACGAUGAUAAGAAAGAGAUUGAACGACUAACACAAGAAUUAAACACUCUUAAGUUAGCUCAUGAAACUACUCUAGAAGAUCAUAGAGAGCUUGUAAGAACUCAUGAGAAGCUACGCUUCGAGAAGCUCAAUUUGGAGCAAGAGCAUGAGUUCCUAAAAGCGAUCAAUGAUGAUCUUCGAAAGAAGAGUUCUUCUUAUCUAGCCAAACUAUUACUCUUGUCUACUUUUGUUCCACAAGUUAAACCUAAGAACACUGGUAACAAAGGCAAGAAAGUUUCUUCAUCUAGUAACAACAAUGCUAAAGCUAAACCUAAUGUUCUUGCUAGUAGCUCUCUUGAUUACACUAAUGAUUCUCUUAGCCAAGUUACACUUGAGCAAGAAAACGAUUUAUUGAAAGGGACUAUAGAGAGAGGUGUCUUCAAGAGUCUUGUCGGAAGUAAAUAAUUUGAGGAAGUUGUACGCAAGCAAGGAGGACAUCGGAAGAAACAAGGUGUUGGCUACUUCAACGUCAACGGAGAAGAUUGUGAAGAAGGUCCAUAUCCCAUUCCUAAGUUUGUUCCUCAAGAGGAGAAGUAUGAUCCCACUCCUCCCAAGGGAACAAGCUCACAAGAUGACCUUACACCACAAGACCACAAGGGCAAGGGAAAGCUUCAAUAAGACAUUGACCUUUAUGAAGAGGAACCCCAAGUCAAGGUCAAGUGGAUUCCCAAAGACACUUCUAGCACUACAUCAUCUAGUGCUACCACAACUCCAAGGAUCCCCAUCAAGUUGAUGUGGAUCCCCAAGAGGAAGAACUAGAAAUUUCUUGAGGGGUGACUCUGCUAAUGAAAUUAACUCUCAUUCAUUUUGGCAAGAAAUAUAUGCAAUCAAUCUCAACCAUAUGCAUUAAUUCAAGGAGUCACACAUUCCCUCAAAGGUAAUCAAGGAACAAUGUAAUUAAUGCAUCUUUGGACAUUAUCCCAUGUGUGUUUCACUCCAUGUCCAUAGAUAUUCUUGCAUAUGUUCCUUUUGCUUUGAGACUAACCCAUGUAGGUGAGAAGAGUAAGAAACAACAAGGAUUGCUCCCAACUCAAAUGAUCUUCAUCAACAUUGAGCAUCCACCACUACUUCACCUACUUGAAGUCUUCUACGACAAAUAACAAGGUUAGUUUGUCCCUCUUAGGGGGGUGUCAUAUCAAGGGGGGGCUUUACUCUAAAUCUUGAGUAUAAGCAUCUCCUAAGGAUAUGAACACAUUAAUGCUGAUGUAAAAGUGGUAACCCCACUUGUGCUUAACGAUGAGUAUGACCUAUGAUCAAGUAUUCUUACUUGGCUCCUAUGUCAAUAUACUCAUAUAUAGAUGACUUCGUCAUCGCCCAAGUGCUUGAUAGCUGCUAGGAUGUUUGUGCAUGUUCACCGUAUUUUAUCUAUCAUUCUUAUUGUGUGAGCAUGUUGGUCUGCAUGUGUUUGCUCAUUUGAGGACAUCCAAUUGUUGUUAUUUGGCUCUUGAUUUAUCUUUUGCCGAUUGGAUGGACAAGAAUGCCUAGGACCCUUAUCUAGCUAUCUAUGCUAUAUCAUCUCAAGUUCUAUUCAUGGUUCAUCACAAAACUUGAACAAGCACUUGUCGAUCCCUCUGUGUGAAGAAGCACUUGGAGUUCCGUAUCGUCAAAGGUUGCCUUCCAAAACCUCUUUGUGAAUCUCGGUGAAACCAACUCCACAAACUCGAUUCCACCGAAUUCUAGAGUUGAUCUAGGUUUUCAUCUCGGUACCACCGAAAUCACAAACUCGGUUACACCGAGUUUCCGUGUCAACUGAUAGUAGAGGAACUCGGUGACACCGAUUUCGUAAUCUUGGUGACACCAAUAGCGAAAGGGUAUAUAUUCCAGCGGACCGAAUCUUUGAUUUCCAAUCGUCAAAGACAUUUUGCCUCAAACUCUAAGCUGCCUCGUGGACCCCUGUUCAUCACCCUUGACUCCCCGUGCGUCUCCGCCGUUGGGAAUCGCCACCGUCGACGAUUUCUUCUCCACCAUCUCCGUCGUAGCCGAACCGUCGCCGAAUUAGGGUACGGAUCCGCUCCUUUCUAUUGCGCUUCCUUGAUCUAACCCAUGCGCAUCAGAACCUUUAUCCACAAACCAGCGUGUGCUAGCCUCUCCAUCCACCAGAAAUUCCUAUAGAUUAGCGAACGAGAAGUUUUUAGGUUUAGUUGUCCGCAGACCCCAUCUUGGUGCCUCCGAGUUGCAAAAUUGGUGCUACCGAUUUUGAACCUAGGGUUCGUGUCACGCCCAAGAUGCGACCCUAUCCUCAAUUUGGCACGAGGGCCUCGUCAGGGAUAGAAGCGCAUCUCGUCGUGUCGCAAGAAUGGAUAUCGUUACAAGUACAUGUACUGAAAAGAAGAGAUAUAUAUAGAGUUGGCUUACACUCGCCACAAGCUACAUCAGAGUCACAUCAGUACAUUACAUAACCAUCAAGAGUAAGAUCAGGGUCCGACUACGGACGAAAACAAACGAGAAAAUAAGAACGACGUCCAUCCUUGCUAUCCCAAGCUGCCGGCCUGGAACCCAUCCUAGAUCGAUGAAGAAGAAGAAGAAGCAACUCCAAAUGAACAAUCAACGCGCUCACGUCGAGUAACCUUUACCUGUACCUGCAACUGUUGUUGUAGUAAUCUGUGAGCCACAGGGGACUCAGUAAUCUCAUUUCCAAAGGUAUCAAGACUAUCAAAGCUUAAUGGGUGAGGCAUGGUUAAGUGGUGAGGUUGCAGCAGCGGCUAAGCAUAUAUAUAAGGUGGCUAAACCUACGAGUGCAAGAAAUAAAAGGGGGAAGAUCUACACAUAACGGACGUGUCUACUGAUGAUCGAAUGAAUGAUACUGAANNNNNNNNNNNNNNNNNNNNNNNNNNNNNNNNNNNNNNNNNNNNNNNNNNNNNNNNNNNNNNNNNNNNNNNNNNNNNNNNNNNNNNNNNNNNNNNNNNNNNNNNNNNNNNNNNNNNNNNNNNNNNNNNNAAUGAAUGAUACUGAACACCUACCUACGUCAGACAUAACCCCACCGUGUCCUCGAUCGGAGAAGGAACUCACGAAAGAGACAGUCACGGUUACGCACACAGUUGGCAUAUUUUAAUUAAUUAACUUUGAUUUAUCUAGAACCAGUGUUAAACAAAGUUUCCACGUUGCCACAUAACCGCGGGCACGACUUUCCGAAAAGAUUUAACCCUGCAGGGGUGCUCCAACUAGUCCAUCACAAAUUACUACAAGCCGCAUAGAAAUCCUCAAUCACGAAACUCGCGAUCUCGUCGGAUUCCCUAGUGGAAAACCUCAACUCUGAGAUUACCCAAAGCAUCACCGGAAUCCCGAUGCACAAGAUAUUCUGUCAAAGGUAAAACUAAUCUAGCAAGGCCACCCGGUGUGUCGACGAACCCGAUAGGAGCUGCGUAUCUCGUUCUCANNNNNNNNNNNNNNNNNNNNNNNNNNNNNNNNNNNNNNNNNNNNNNNNNNNNNNNNNNNNNNNNNNNNNNNNNNNNNNNNNNNNNNNNNNNNNNNNNNNNUGAGAACGAGAUACGCGGCUCCUAUCGGGUUCGUCGACACACCGGGUGGCCUUGCUGGAUUAGUUUUACCUUUGACGAAAUAUCUUGUGCAUCAGGAUUCCGGUGAUGCUUUGGGUAAUCUCAGAGUUGAGGUUUUCCACUAGGGAAUCCGACGAGAUCGCGAGCUUCGUGAUUGAGGAUUUCUAUGCGGCUUGUGGUAAUUUGUGAUGGACUAGUUGGAGCACCCCUGCAGGGUUAAAUCUUUUUGGAAAGCCGUGCCCGCGGUUAUGUGGCAACGUGGAAACUUUGUUUAACACUGGUUCUAGAUAACUCGAAGUUAAUUAAUUAAAAUAUGCCAACUGUGUGCGUAACCGUGACUGUCUCUUUCGUGAGUUCCUUCUCCGAUCGAGGACACGGUGGGGUUAUGUCUGACGUAGGUAGGUGUUCAGUAUCAUUCAUUUGAUCAUUAGUAGACACGUCCGUUAUGCGUAGAUCUUCCCCCUUUUAUUUCUUGUACUCGUAGGUUUAGCCACCUUAUAUAUAUGCUUAGCCGUUGCUGCAACGUCACCACUUAACCAUGCCUCACCCAUUAAGCUUUGAUAGUCUUGAUACCUUUGGAAAUGAGAUUGUUGAGUCCCCUAUGGCUCACAGAUUACUACAACAACAGUUGCAGGUACAGGUAAAGGUUACUCGGCGUGAGCUCGUUGAUUGUUCAUUUGGAGUUGCUUCUUCUUCUUCUUCAUCGAUCUAGGAUGGGUUCCAGGCCGGCGGCCUGGGAUAGCAAGGAUGGACGUCGUUCUUAUUUUCUCGUUUGUUUUCGUCCGUAGUCGGACCCUGCUCUUACUCUUGAUGGUUAUGUAAUGUACUGAUGUGACUCUGAUGUAGCUUGUGGCGAGUAUAAGCCAACUCUAUAUAUAUAUCUUCUUUUCAGUACAUGUACUUGUAACGAUAUCCAUUCUUGCGACACGACGAGAUGCGCUUCUAUCCCUGACGAGGCCCUUAUGCCAAAUUGAGGAUAGGGUCGCAUCUUGGGCGUGACAACCACAUUGCCUUCUGCAUGAUUGUGAUAUUACUCAUUCUGAAAUAUUUAUUUCUAGUCUCCUUUAAGACUCCGAAGGAGCGUCUACAUUUAUGUUUUGCUUCACUCAUGGGGCUAGCGAGAUACCACUCUAGUAUGUCCAAGUCAUGUGCAUUGUGAUCUCAUCAUGAUUUUCAAUUGCAUAUUAUUCAUUCAUAGUUGUUUGAAACUCUUCACAUGAUCGAAGGAUUGCUUCGUGCAUUGUCUUUGUAGCAUUGCUUCAAUACUUGUUGAACUUGUUCGUAGUGCAUGCUUAUAUACAUCUAAUGAAGCAAAAGAGUUUGUGAAAGUUUUCUUUGUCGCGUCCAGUUCGUUGAACUGAAUUGCUUGAGGACAAGCAAUAUGCUAAGCUUAGGGGAGUUGGUACGUCUCAAACAUAUCGACUUUUCCAAACACUUUUUCUAUUGCUUUGGCCUCAUUCUUGCAUGAUUUGAACGAAACUAACCCGACUGACGUUGUUUUCAGUAGAGUUGCAUGUAUGGUUUUCUUGUGUGCAGGAAAAUGGAUUUUUAGGUGUACCGGAAAAUUCCAAUAAAAAUAGAGAAAAUACACGCAUCGGGAGGAACCCUUGACCAGAAGAUGGGCCAGAGGGGGGCCACCAGGCCUCCAGGCGACCUGGUGGCGCGGCCUGCCCCUGGCCGCGUAGGGAGACCGCCUGGGUGGGGGCCACCUCCUCUGGUGCCCUACCUUGGCUCCUAUUUUUACCCGAGACGGAGAAAUUCCAAAACAGAAGUCGUUUCGCCAAUUCUCGACGCGGAGCCACCGCCACCCUCGGUUCUUCUCCGGGAGAGCUAAUCUGGAGGCUGCCUUGGCCUUCGGAGAGGGGAAAUCGUCGCCAUCGUCAUCGCCAUCGCCACUCCAUCACCCUUCCAUGGCUUCCCCUUUCAUGUGUGAGUAAUUCCCUGAUGUAGGUGAAGGGGUGGUAGGGAUUGGAUGAGUUAGAUCGUGUAAUAGUUCGUCAGAUUGUUGGGGGCAUGUUGCCUAUCAUCUACUAUGGUGUUUAUCAUCUUUGCUACUACUUGUUACUCUCAAUGCUUUUCACUUUGGGCCCGAGUGCCAUGAUUUCAGAUCUGAGUACCUUAUGUUUUCAUGAAUAUAUUUGUGUUCUAGAUCCUAUCUAUGAGUAGUAUGCACCUAUUAUAGUCCGAAACCGGAGAUCCCAAUGGUGACAGCUCGGGACACCAAAGGGGAUAGACUAUAAUUUGAGGAUUCCAUGUAUCCAUUGUUCCGGUGCUCUUUGAUAGGAGCACCUUAAUCUCCAUAAGUUCCUUUUGGCCUCGUUGGUAGCGGGAUGGUAGGACAAAAGAUGUUGUGCAAGUUCUUAAUGCAAGCACCCACGACUACCUUGGGAUACAUGCCUAAUGUUUAAUAUUUUCCUAGAUGAUCAUUACUUUUCUAUGUGCCUUGCCCCAAGUUAAAUAUGAUAUCUCUCAUCCAUGAACAACCACCCAUCUCCCUAGCCUACAGUGUUUUAAUCCUGCUAGUUACAAGUUGCUUUACUUUUGCUGUUUUACUUUCGUUGCUUGCCACCAGCACUUCCAUAUCACCAUUGCUACUAAUAUUUCGUUGCCAAACAAGUAUAUUUCAGGUGCGGUUGAAUUGACAACUCAACUGUUAAAGCUUAUAAAUAUUCUUUGGAUCCCCUUGUGUCGAAUCAAUAAAUUGGGUUAACUUACCCGCGAAGACUAUUGCGAUCCCCUAUACUUGUGGGUUAUCAAGACUAUUUUCUGGCGCCGUUGCCGGGGAGCAUAGCUUUAUUUACAAGUCUACUAGGAGUUAUUUUGCUUGCUGCGAUUUAUCCGCUAUGGGUAAGAAAGGAGACCCCAUGGUUCCAAUUUUACCAUCCACUACAAGAAAAGGUAUUGUUCUUAACGCUAGUGCUAUGCUUGAUUCACCUUCCGUUAUGAGUAAGUUUGCUUCACCACCACCACAUGCUGCUUCUACCGAGUCCGUCACUAUGUCUGAUACUUUUGAUGAUGCUUCUACUACUAUUGAUGAGACUAGUUUACUUUGUUAUUUUAUUGAGUCCUAGAUUUGUAAGGCUGCGAAGCUGUCUGGAAUUGAAAUUCCUAUUACACGCUACCCCAUUGGUAGAUCCUUUGGUUACCCAGACUUGAGUGGUCUCAAGGAAAGAAUUCUUGAUGAUGAUUAUAUUGAACUUGAUGAUGAUUUAUGCAGGGAGCUUAUAGAGUGUGCUGACUCUGACCUUGCUGCUGUUAAGAAGCUGCUUGAAAAGCAUUCUAUUAAGAACAAAUUUACUCCUGAUCCUAAAUUUGCUUCAUCUCCUAUUUGAAUUGAGGAUGGUGAUUUUAAUUUCUCUGUCGAUCUUUCACUUAUAUCCACAGUUGAAGCUGACCCCUUUUAUGCCAGAGAAAAUGACGACGUUAUUGCACACCUCACCAAACUCACUGAGUUGGGUGGCUUAUUCACUACAGAGGACAAGAAGAGAAAUUAUUAUGUUUCUAAGCUACUUCCUUUCUCUUUGAAGGGAGAUGCUAAAGCAUGGUAUGAUGCACUACCAUGUGGUUCCAUUAAGAGUCUUCCAGAUUUAGCUCAAUAUUUUGUUGCUAAAUAUUUUCCUACUCAUAAUCAACAUGUUGCUUUACAAAGAAUAUAUAACUUUAAACUGUUGCCGGAUGAGCACCUCCCUAAAGCCUGGGGGAGGUAUUUCACUUUACUCAAGGCUAGACGAGUACAUGGAAUCCCUAAGAAUGAAUUGCUUGAUAUAUUUUAUGUUGGUCUAACCGACGAAUCUAGAACCUAUCUGGAUAGUUGUGUUGGUUGUGUUUUCACGGAAAGAACACCGGACGAUGUUGAAGAACUAAUGGGCAAGAUAGCUAAGAAUCAUGAUGAUUGGUCUGUUCCUCAACCACCUCCACCACCAAAGAAGGGGUGUGCUUUUCUUGAGCCCCAAAGUUAUGCAAGAAGCCAAGAAGUAUAUUAAAGAGAGAGGUAUUAAAGCUUAAGAUUUGAAGAAUCUACCUCCUAUUGAGAAAUUAUGUGAGCCUACCACUCACCCACCUAUGGUAAAGGUACACUCUCUUUUAGAAUUCAAUGCAAGUGACAUCCCUCAUGGUAAGCCCCCUGAUCAAUGUUUAGAUGAGAUUGAUGAUUUCAUUGUCAAGCAAAGUUGCUUUAAUGAGAGGAUUCAAAGUCAAUUGCAUGAUAAUUCCCUUGUUAUCAAAAGUUUGCUUGAUGUUUUAAGUAGAACUGUUAAUGAUGUUAAAGGUCUUGUUAAGCAUUUUCAUAUGGUUCAAACUCAGCUUGAACAAAUUUCUAAUGUGCAAAAGGAUUUUCUUGCUAACAAUGCCACACAAGUUGAUACACACGCAUAUGGUAUAAAGACCUGAGGUGGUACACACACCCAGGACCCCCUCUAUCUGGAGGGGCAUCCAAAGAGGAUCAAGCAAGAUUCUCAAUUGCAGGAAGAAGAUGUUGUUAGCUCCCCAAAGAAGAAGAAGAAACACAAGGAAGCUAACAACUCCAAUGAUCCCACAAUUGAUGAAGAACCUAUUGUUGAUCCUAAUAGUAUAUCUAUUUCCAAUGUUGAAACUGAAGAUGGUGUUGAACCUGAUAAAGAUAAUGAGAAGAAUGACCCUCCUAAAGUACAAGAAGAAGAAGCACCCGACAAGCGCAAGAGAUAUACUAGAGAAGACUUUGUUGCAAUAGGACAUGGGAAGGAAAGAGAACCAUGGGUACAGAAAUCAAUGCCCUUCCGAGGUAAGUCUUUCAAAACCAAAGAAGAAGAGCAUUACAAUAAAUUUUGUGAAUGGAUGAAACCUCUUUUUCUUCAAAUUCCUUUGACUGAUGCUAUUAGGUUGCCUCCAUACUCGAGGUAUAUGAAAUAUAUUGUUACUAAUAAAAGAAAAGUUCCUAAUGAGGCAAUAUCUACUAUGCUUGAUGAUUACUCUUUCAAUGGUAAGAUUCCUGAGAAGCUUGGUGAUCCAGGUAUACCCACCAUUCCUUGCUCCAUAAAAAAUAAUUAUUUCAGAACUGCUUUAUGUGAUCUUGGUGCGGGAGUGAGUGUUAUGCCUUUAUCUCUUCACAAAAGGCUUUGUCUAGAUAAACUAAUCCCUAUAGAUAUCUCUCUUCAAAUGGCUGAUAAGUCAACAGCUGUUCCUGUUGGUAUUUGGGAGGAUGUUCCCGUUGAAGUUGCUAAUUGCUUGAUCCUUACUAACUUUGUUGUGCUUGACAUGCCCGAGAAUGGGAGCAUGUCUAUUAUUCUUGGUAGACCUUUUCUUAACACCGCAGGUGCUAUUAUUGAUUGCAAUAAAGGAAAGGUGACUUUCAAUGUUAAUGAGCAGAAGCACACGAUAUAUUUUUCGAAGAAGAUUGAUAAAAGGCAUGGCCUUAAUUCUAUUGAGAAUAUUGAGACCGUGAAGGAUGGAGAGUGGGAUUGUCCUCUACAUGUGCACCAUAAAUACAAAACCAUUAUGGUGGGGACAAUAUCCAUUAAAAUAAAGGUACCAUGAUUGCUUUAUAAGAAGUGAAACUUUUUGCUCGAUAUAACACCCGUUUGGUAGUAAGACUUGAUCAACCUUGCUAACAAACAUGUUUUAUGUGAGUAAAAAGAGAAGCUUGUCAUGUAUUCAUUUCCUUUAUCUUUCUUCCUCCUUGUUGUACCAAAGUUUUAUGUUUUUGAAGCUUCAUGUGUUUAACCAUUGCUUUGAGCUUUCCGGAAGUUUUGCAGCUUUCGGUACUUCAGAUUCUUUUCAAAAGUGAAGUUGUCAGAACAAAUCCAGAAAAAUUAUAAUAAAAAUUUCCAUCAAAAAAUAGACACAUGGGCACCUCGGGCUGACCAGGGAGGUCCACCCCUAGUCCAGGCGGCCAGGUGGCGCGGCCUGGCCCCUGGACGCGCCCAGAGGGUGCCUGGGCCCACCUUGUCCCCUUUCCAGGUACUUUCUCUUCCCUUCUCUCUCUCUCACUCCAAAAAUCCCGAUUUUUCUGCUGGAGCUCGAGUUCUUGUUGUUCUUGGUGGCAAAUUUCGAUCUCUCUCUACAACCCAUCAUUUGCAUUGAGAAUUUGAGCAUUCCUCCUUGGUAUGUGACUCCUCCACUCCUCCAAUUAGAAUUUUGAUUGGUAGUCUUAUUUAUGAGUAUUUAGGAGUUCUUGGUGCUGUUCAUAUGAGCUUGCAUGCAUAUUUAGAAAGUUCUUUAUGAAGUUUUGAUGCAAGUUUAUGCCUUGGGGAAGUGAGUAGAAUAGUUUGCUCCAACUCAUUUUGCUUAAACCUUCAUUUUUGUGAUGUACCAAAAAUUUCAGAAAUGAGUUUGUUCGGAAAAGCAAAAGGAUGGCUUGGGAAGAAGAGACCCGAGCCUACCGAUAGACUAACCAGAGCUGCAGCUUCACCCUCUACUGUGAGGACAAGUUACAAUGAUGAUAUCCUACCACCGGAGUUGCUCCACGAGACGGACACGCCACAUCCCAUGACACACCCGUGUUCAGAUUCUCUUGCGGCAGCAGGUAUUAAGGAUGAGUUUGAUAACCUUUGUGCAGCUGCAGGUUUGACACGUCUUGUAACAUGACAUGUGCAACAAUAUCCAAAACUCACCUAUUAUUUUGUCAACUGGUUUAGAUAUAAUGAUAAAACUUCCAUGAUUGAAUUCAAAUUAUAUGAGGAUGUCUUUACCAUGUCUUUGGCAGAAUUUUGUGUCGUUAUAUGUGUACGGAAUGUUGGUAAGAUGGCCAAAAUGAAAGUUCAUCCCUACGAGCUGAAAUCCCUAUUCCCCUCCCUUUGUAGCAAGGAUCCGCGAGACAUUCACCGGGGGAAGAUUCCAGCAUCUUGUUUCCCCACAUCAGGUAAUUUGCAUACUAUAUUGCUUGAGGCGUGUUAGCUCAUGACAACACGAGCAACAUUUCGGCUCCAGAUCUUUCUAUCUUGGCAGCCGCCCUCUUAGGAGAUAACACGUAUAAUAUUGGUGCUUUGAUUGCUCGUCGCCUCGUCGCUACCAGCGGCAAAGGGCCUCACUUUGGUGGCAUUUAUGCCACGUUUAUCCUCGAGCAUCUCAAGCACAGUGUACGUGCGGGUGAUGCGCCUUUUCCAUUCAUAAACUUUGAUCCUACCUCUAUGAAGAGGCAUGAGUUUGUUACUAGGAAUUCCGAGUUUGGUAACCUUGUUUAUAUUAUGAGGUUUGGCGAGUUUACUACUCGCGAGAUCCGUCUACCUGCACCACUUUUGUUUUAUUAUACUAGCAGGAACAGAUGGUUCUUCACCACGAUUGAGCUGGACGAGUUCGUAAUCCAGCAGCAGUUCCAUAACCCCAUGGAGGGGGUUGUUCCCGAGGAAGAGGAGCCUUCUUCUUGGGAGGACACCAGGACAUCAGUCUACGCGCCCGAGGCCCCGUACGAUUCUUUGAGCUAACAGUACCACCCUGGAGCCGGAGGGAGCUCCUGGAGCCCGCAGUAGCCAAGCCCAACUUAGGCCAAAAUCCUAAGCUUGGGGGAGUACGUACCCUUCUCCCCUUUCAUUGUAUCAUCCGUUGUUUCCUUUUUAAUCUUUUCGGAGUUUUUGCUUGUUCUUCUUUGUUCUUUCUUUUGAAAAAACAAGAAAAGAUUUCUCUUUUCUUUUACUUUCGUUUAACCUUUGGAAAACACAAAAAGAUUUCUUUUCUCUCUUUAGUUUGCUUUGUUUGCAGAGUUCAGCUCACGUCCAUGGUUGAAAUUGCACGUGAUUAUAUCUUUCUACGUUCGAUAGUGCAAGUGACGAUGCAACAAUGACGAAGAUCGAAGGAAGGGAUGCAACAAGGAAAGUCGGUAUGAACUCUAUUUGUUUCUACUUUUGUACAUAUGCAUGUACUUAUGAUCUAGAGACCAUCUUCUAGCGACAUAGUGCAAUGUUUACAAUUGAUACGUCUCCAACGUAUCUAUAAUUUUGUAUGGUUCCAUGCUAUUAUCUUGUGAAACGUUGGAUGUUUUGUAUGCCUUUUACAUCUUUUUGGGGACUAACUUAGUAACUCAGUGCCAAGUGCCAGUUCGUGUUUUUCCAUGUUUUUUACCCUUUUCAGAGGAGAAUAUUAAACGGAGUCCAAACGGAAUAAAACUUCCAAAAAGAUUUUUUUCCGGAACAGAAGAUACGCACGGGGCGUGAGAACUAAGGCAGAGGCCACCAGGGGAGGCCACAAGCCCCCUAGGCGCGGCCAGCGGGCUCGCCUAGCAGGCUUGUGGGCCCCUGUGGCUCGUCUGCCCUACUUCUUCCGCCAAUAAAUCCCCGAAAAAUCCAAAAACCACGGGAGAGAUGCACGAAAAUACUUUUCCGCCGCCGCAAGCUUCUGUCUCCGCAAGAUCCCAUCUGGGGCAUGUUGUGGUGCACUGCCGGAGGGGGAUUCGGAUACGGAGGGCUUCUUCAUCAACACCAUUGCCUCUGCGAUGAUGCGUGAGUAGUUCACCAUAGACCUUCGGGUCCAUAGCUAGUAGCUAGAUGGCUUCUUCUCUCUCUUGGAUCUUCAAUACAAAGCUCUCCAUGAUCUUCAUGGAGAUCUAUCCGAUGUAAUCUUCUUUUGCAGUGUGUUUGUCGAGAUCCGAUGAAUUGUGGAUUUAUGAUCAGAUUAUCUAUGAAUCUUAUUUGAGUUUCUUCUGAUCUCUCUUAUGCAUGAUUUCAUAUCCUUGUAAUUCUCUUCGAGUUGUGGGUUUUGUUUGGCCAACUUGAUCUAUGAUUCUUGCAAUGGGAGAAGUGCUUGGUUUUGGGUUCAUACCGUGCGGUGACCUCACCCAGUGAUAGAAGGGGUAGCGAGGCACGCAUCGUGUUGUUGCCAUCAAGGGUAAAAAGAUGGGGUUUAUAUCUAUUGCAUGAAUUUAGCCCUCUACAUCAUGUCAUCUUGCUUAAGGUGUUACUUUGUUCGUCAUGAACUCAAUACACUAGAUGCAUGCUGGAUAGCGGUCGAUGUGUGGAGUAAUAGUAGUAGAUGCAGACAGUAUCGGUCUACUUGUCUCGGAUGUGAUGCCUAUAUGUAUGAGCAUUGCCUUAGAUAUCGUCAUGACUUUGCGCGGUUCUAUCAAUUGCUCGACAGUAAUUCGUUCACCCACCAUAAUAUUUUCUAUCUUGAGAGAAGCCUCUACUGAACACUAUGGCCCCCGGGUCUACUUCACAUCAUAUUUUCAGCCUUACACUUUUACUUUGUUGCACUUUCCACCCUCAGAUCUCACCUUGCAAUCAAUCGUGAAGGGAUUGACAACCCCUUUGUAGCGUUGGGUGCAAGCUCGUUUGUGUUUGCGCAGGUACUCUGGACACUUGGCUUUAUUCUCCUACUGGAUUGAUACCUUGGUUAUCGAAACUGAGGGAAAUACUUACUCCUACUGUGUUGCAUCACCCUUUCCUUUUCAAGGGAAAAACCAACGCAAGCUCAAGAGGUAGCAACAAUGCUUUCCCAGUAGUUCAUGCUUUAUUUGUGACUAGUCUCAAAUAGCUAGAGUGCAUAAUGUGAUAUUGAAAUGAUUUGCAUGCAUUGCAUUGUUCAUGGUUUGGCAUAUUGAAGUGGUAUUUCCCUUUGGAUAUUUUUCUAGAUUGACUUGGCACAUGCUCACACUUGUUUAUGACUAGAAGUCUAUCAAGCCUUGAUGAUCUUUUUAAUUCAGAAUAGUUAUAUCAUUUUCAAGCCCGAUUCAAUGUUGCUUUGUCGCUCUGCAUGAUUAUGACUGUUAUUCGUCUCUAGUUGGUCGCUUCCCCAUCUUCUGCUAGCCUUCGCGUGCACUAAGCGGACUGACCGCUUGUGCAUCCAAAAUCCUUGAAACCAGUUACGCCAUAUGAGUCCACCAUACCUACCUAUAUGCGGUAUUUAUGUGUCGUCCUAAGUAAAUUUGCAUGUGCCAUACUCUAAAUCUUCAAAUAAAUAUUUUGUUUUGUAUGUCCGAAUCGCUCAUGUAAUGACUAGGAGUUGUUAGUAUCUUCCAUGCUAAGUGGGUUAUUCUCAAGAUAUGUGUUGAUUCACUAUCAUUCACAAGAAAGUGGCUGGUAACCGGGAUGCCCGGUUCCAUGCUCAAAAGUCAAAUAAAAUUUAAUGAAACAAAACUCCCCCAGGAUUGUUGUUUGUAUGGACGGUACCCGUGGAUUCGGCCCGGUGUGGAGUGUGAUCGAUUGGUGGAGGGGGAGUAAAAACUUUACUAUUUUGUUUGUGAAACGCCUAUAAUGUAUUUAGCAUGGAAGAUAUUGAGAUCUCUUAGUUGUUACGUUGACAAUGAAAGCAUACCACCCAAAUUUUUUAUUCAUCCGUGUUUUAAAAGCUCAAGCUCUGGCACCUCUGCAAAUCAAUGCUUCCCUCUGCGAAGGGCCUAUCUAUUUUACUUUACUGUUGAGUCAUCCUCUUCUUAUAUAAAAAAGCACCAACCACUGAGAGCAUAAUUGUCAUUCUGAGUGUAAUGUGCAUUGUCCCAAAGUACCACUGUGACAGCCCGAUGCCGACGUUCCANNNNNNNNNNNNNNNNNNNNNNNNNNNNNNNNNNNNNNNNNNNNNNNNNNNNNNNNNNNNNNNNNNNNNNNNNNNNNNNNNNNNNNNNNNNNNNNNNNNNNNNNNNNNNNNNNNNNNNNNNNNNNNNNNNNNNNNNNNNNNNNNNNNNNNNNNNNNNNNNNNNCCCUUCUAUUCCGUUUCCGUCGUGUGUUAUUUUUAUUGGUUGCUUCAUCAUGUAGUUUGCAUUGUCGCAUCAUGCAUGGCAUCUUGCAUUGUCUGUUGCGUGUGGUAUUUUGAGUGUGUGUGCUUCAAGUGCUCUCGGUGUCUUUGUGUGCAAUAGGAACUCCCCCUCUCUCCUCUUUUAAUUAUUUUGUGGUUGCAUAAAAUUUUCCGUUUUAACCUCUAUUUUAAAAAGGGUUCGUCUUCUUUUAAAAGGUCCUUUUAUUAAAUGUGGGGGCAACCCUUGGGUUUCCUUUAUUUGUUUUCCUUUUGUUUAUUUUUUUAAGAACUAGAGACUCUUUUAUUUUAAAAAGGGGUUUGAUUUUAUUCUUUUGUAAAAAAAAGGGUUUUAUUUUAAUUAUUAAAAAAAGGGUUCAUUUUUAUUUGUUUAAAAAUGCCCAAUCUAUUUUAUAGUUGGGGUAUUUUUUUCAAGGAGCCAAAAUCAUUUUUUUAUGUUGUUGAAAUCGUUUUCUUUUAGAGUGUGAUUUAUGUUUUUAAAAAAAGGGAUAAAAAACAUAAAGAGAGAGGAGGAGGCCCACUUGGACAAGGCCGAGGCCCAAGACCCAUGUUAACCUAGCGCCACGGGAGAGCUCCUCGCUCGAAUCCCUCCUGCGCCACCGAGCCCGUCUCGUCCGCCCGACCUCCUCUCGUUCCUUCCCCGUNNNNNNNNNNNNNNNNNNNNNNNNNNNNNNNNNNNNNNNNNNNNNNNNNNNNNNNNNNNNNNNNNNNNNNNNNNNNNNNNNNNNNNNNNNNNNNNNNNNNNNNNNNNNNNNNNNNNNNNNNNNNNNNNNNNNNNNNNNNNNNNNNNNNNNNNNNNNNNNNNNNNNNNNNNNNNNNNNNNNNNNNNNNNNNNNNNNNNNNNNNNNNNNNNNNNNNNNNNNNNNNNNNNNNNNNNNCCCCGCGCACCUCCUGCUUCCCCCGCGCGCCAGUUCCCGUGCUCGCCCUGCUGCCGCCUCGCCUCGCCAUUCGCCCGAGCCACCUUGGCCGCCUCCCUGCGCCAGGCCCUCGUCGUCGUUCACCCUCGCCCUCUUCUCCCUGUCGCAUGUGCCCGCGGUUCCCCGCGGUGCCCAUCCCUCGCCGCCUCGGCUCGCCGUUCCCCGCGCGCCGCCCCUAGCGGCCUCACGUUCCCUGCCGAGCCGCCCCUCCAGGGCCCGGCCUCCUCCUCCGGUUGCCGUCGUCGAGCUGCCUUCGUCCCACGCGCCCCCGUCCUUGCCGCUUCUUGGCGAUGCUGCUGCCUGAUGUUGUUGUUGCUGUUGUGCCGGUUGCUAUAGCUGCAAGUUGUUGUUGCUGAAGCUUGCAUGUGCUGUUCCUGCUCCUGUCGUCGCGUCGUGUCGUCGUGCUGCUGGUCGUCUGAUGUGCUUGUGUUGCCUUGCUAGAUGCUUGCCUAUUGCUGCUGCUGGCAUAUCGUGCUCCUGCCGCCAUGGUGCUUGCUGCCAGCUAGCUUGCCUGUCCAUGUCGCCGAGUUGCUAGUUGCUGCCGAGCCUGUUGCUGCGAUUGUUGUUGCUCUUGCUGCAUGAUGUGCUUGCGGCUACUAUUUUUAGUUGCUGCUGUUUGUGGCUGUUGCUUGUUGUAGGUGCUGGCCGAUGCUUGUUGUUUGCUUGUGUGCUGCCUGCCUGCUUGCUAUGUUGUAGCUGAUGAUGUAGCUCGCUGCCGCUGCUUGCCGUUUUGCUAGCAUGUUGCUAGUUGCUGCUUGCCUUGCUCUAGCUUGCUGUUAGUGUCGCCUGCCGUCACCGAAGGCCGUGUGCACCAUCCCUGCCUGCCGUGGUUCGUCAACAAGUUCACCGAGCACCACGUCGUCCUCGACGACCCCCGCAACGUGUUCGACUACCGAUGUUAAGACCGUGUACCGACGACAAGAGAACGACUACCGUCGACGAGACCCGAGCAGCACGACUACCACUACGACCACGACGACCGUUGUUCUCCUUCACCGAUCCGAACCCCUCCGUUUGCACGCUUCAAAGGUAUACCGAUGAGACGUGGCCGAGAAACGUAUUCAUGUGAUGUAUGAGAUGAAUGUAUGUAUGCACCGUAUGUUGCCCGUUGCACGUUGUCCCUCUUAUGUUGUGCCCCGACACCUGGGUACCCGGUAACCGGGAUCACCCCAUCUUUAUUUAGCGUUCCCGCACACGCUUCCUAUACGUUGGCACAAUAUCUCGACGAGUUAUCGGCAUAGGAACGUUGUCGUGGCAUCGUUUCCGUUUUGCCGCCAUGAUUUCCUCUCGCUUGCCGUGCCGACACAUGCUUAUUUUCCCUCAUUGUCGUGAUGUGAUGAACUUGCAUGCAUGACGCAUACAUGGCAUGUAAUCUCGUGUUGCAUGUCUCUUGCACAUAGCUCCGUUCUAUGCUCCGCGUGUUAACCGUCUAGGAUGCCAUGCAGGACCGUCGCUUCACCCUUGCCAUGUUAGCUACAAUUUAAUAUUGUCGUGUAAAUAACCGGGAGUGAACUAAAUAAUUAAUCGUGGAGUUUCGUUGAUAUGCAAUGUGUAGAGUUUGCGUGAGGUGAAUUGCCAUGCCAUCCCUUGCAUCAUUGAACUGAUCAUGCAUCAUAGCAGGUUAUGCAUCAUGUUGUGCAUCGUGUGGUGAAUAUUUGUGUUGAUAUUUAUUUCCGGUUUGCUUCGUCUCGAUAGAGUUCCGCAAGCGUGACGGAAUGUGAGGACCCGUUCGACUACGUUGGUUUGCCGACUCCACCGAGUUGUUCUUCUUCCAAGCGGGAUCUUAGGCAAGAUGACCAUUUCCCCAGAUACCAUUACUAUCAUUGCCAUGCUAGUUUUACCGUUUCUACCGUUUAUGUCUCGUUGCCUACCACAUGUUAAAUAUCAGCCUCUCAACAAUGCCAUGAUAACCUUCAACCUGUUCGACCUAGCAAACCACUAAUUGGCUAUGUUACUGCUUGCUUAACCCUGUUGUUAGCUUUGCUAGUUGCAGGUGUAGUUGCUUCCAUGUGAUAACAUGGAUUCCUUGUCAUAUCACCAUAUUUAAAUUCUAUUUAAUUUAAUGGGCCUAUAUACUUGGUAAAAGGUGGAAGGCUCGGCCUUUCUAGCCUGGUGUUUUGUUCCACCUUUGCCCCCUUAGUUUCGGCUACCGGUGUUAUGUUCCAUAAAUGAGCGUUCCUAACACGAUCGGGGUUGUUAUGGGGACCCCUUGAUAAUUCAUUUUAGAUUAAAGCUGGUCUGGCAAGGCCCAACUUUGGUACUACAUUUGCCUAAUAACUAAUGAACUGCAUAUGGAGUAAUUAACCCGAGGAUAAUUUAAUCAACCCCCGGGCCAGUGCUCCGCAUGAGUGUUGGUCCAAAACAGAGUAGCUUAUUAACGCUACCCGGGGCAACUCGACGUUUGGCGUGGUAACCAUCGCUCAUCCGUCGUGUCCUGAGAACGAGGUACGCGACUCCUAUCGGGAUCGUCGACACAUCGGGCGGCCUUGCUGGAUUAGUUUUACCUUUGACGAGAUAUCUUGUGCAUCAGGAUUCCGGUGAUGCUUUGGGUAAUCUCAGAGUUGAGGUUUUCCACUAGGGAAUCUGACGAGAUCGCGAGCUUCGUGAUGGAGGAUUUCUAUGCGACUUGUGGUAAUUUGUGAUGGACUAGGUGGAGCACCCCUGCAGGGUUAAAUCUUUUCGGGAAGUCGUGCCCGUGGUUAUGUGGCAACGUGGAAACUUUGUUUAACACUGGUUCUAGACAACUUGAAGUUAACUUAAUUAAAAUAUGCCAACUGUGUGCGUAACCGUGACUGUCUCUUUCGUGAGUUCCUUCUCCGAUCGAGGACACGGUGGGGUUAUGUCUGACGUAGGUAGGUGUUCAGGAUCAUUCAUUUGAUCAUCAGUAGUUCACGUCCGUUAUACGUAGAUCUUCCCCCUCUUAUUUAUUGUACUCGUAAGUUAGCCACUAUAUAUAUAUAUGCUUAGCCGCUGCUGCAACCUCACCACUUAACCAUGCCUCACCCAUUAAGUUGUGCUAGUCUUGAUACCUUUGGAAAUGAGAUUGUUGAGUCCCCUGUGGAUCACAGAUUACUACAACAACAGUUGCAGGUACAGGUAAAGGUCACUCGACGCGAGCGCGUUGAUUGUUCAUUUGGAGUUGCUUCUUCUUCUUCUUCUUCGAUCUAGGAUGGGUUCCAGGCCGGCAGCCUGGGAUAGCAAGGAUGGACGUCGUUCUUCUUUUCUCGUUUGUUUUCAUCCGUAGUCGGACCCUGCUCUUACUCUUAAUGUUUAUGUAAUGUACUGCUGUGACUCUGAUGUAGCUUGUGGCGAGUGUAAGCCAACUCUAUAUAUAUCUCUUCUUUUCAGUACAUGUACUUGUAACGAUAUCCAUUCUUGCGACACGACGAGAUGCGCUUCUAUCCCUGACGAGGCCCUNACAAGCCCCCACCCCGUGGCCAGGGGGUAGGCCGCGGCCCACACGCUUGUGGGCCCCUGAGCGCCCCCUGACCUAGGGGUUGCGCCUAUAAAUUCCCUAAAAAUCCCAAAAAAAAUCAAGAGAUCAUCGAAAUCACUUUUCCGCCGCCGCAAGCUUCUAUCUCCGCAAGAUCCCAUCUAGGGCACGUUCUGGUGCCCUGUCGGACGGGGGAUUCGGACACGAAGGGCUUCUCCAUCAACACCAUGACCUCUCCGAUGAUGUGUGAGUAGUUCACCAUAGACCUAUGGGUCCAUAGCUAGUAACUAGAUGGCUUCUUCUCUCUCUUGGAUCUUCAAUACAAAGUUCUCCAUGAUCUUCAUGGAGAUCUAUCCGAUGUAAUCUUAUUUUGCGUUGUGUUUGUUGAGAUCCGAUGAAUUGUGGAUUUAUGAUCAGAUUAUCUAUAAAUCUUAUUUGAGUUUCUUCUGAUCUCUCUGAUGCAUGAUUUCAUAUCCUUGUAAUUCUCUUCGAGUUGUGCGUUUUGUUUCGCCAACUAGAUCUAUGAUUCUUGCAAUGGGAGAAGUGCUUGGUUUUGGGUUCAUACCGUGCGGUGACCUCACCCAGUGACAGAAGGGGUAGCGAGGCAUGCAUCAUGUUGUUUCCAUCAAGGGUAAAAAGAUGGGGUUUUCAUCAUUGGUUUGAGAUUAUCCCUCUACAUCAUGUCAUCUUGCUUAAAGCGUUACUCUGUUCGUCAUGAACUCAAUACACUAGAUGCAUGCUGGAUAGCGGUCGAUGUGUGGAGUAAUAGUAGUAGAUGCAGAAAGUAUCGGUCUACUUGUCUCGGACGUGAUGCCUAUAUGUAUGAUCAUUGCCUUAGAUAUCGUCAUGACUUUGCGCGGUUCUAUCAAUUGCUCGACAGUAAUUUGUUCACCCACUGUGAUAUUUGCUUUUUGAGAGAAGCCUCUAGUGAACACUAUGGCCCCUAGGGUCUACUCCACACGAUAUUUUCAGCCUUACACUUUUUACUUCGUUGCACUUUCCGCCUUCAUAUCUCACUUUGCAAACAAUCUUGAAGGGAUUGACAACCCCUUUGAAGCGUUGGGUGCAAGCUUGUUUGUGUUUGCGCGGGUACUCUAGACUUGAUGAGGCCCUCCUUCUGGAUCGAUACCUUGGUUCUCAAACUGAGGGAAUACUUACUGCUCAUGUGCUGCAUCACCCUUUCCUCUUCAAGGGAAAAACCAUUGCAAACCAGAGAAGUAACAAGAAGAAUUCCUAGCGCCAAGGAAGGACUUUUGUUGCCGUAGCGGAAGAAUUUCUGGCGCCGUUGCCGGGGAGGAAGAUCAAGUCAAGGACUCAUCCAAGUAGGUGUCGCAAACUCAUCUCUUGCAUUUACUUUGUUUGCCAGUUGCCUCUCGUUUUCCUCUCCCGCACUUCACCAAUUUGCCUUUUUCGUUUGCCUUUUUCGUUUGCCUUUUUCGUUCGCCUUUUCUCUCGCUUGCUCUUUGUUCGUCUGUGUGGGAUAGUCUACCCAUCAUCAUGGCUAGAUCCACCGCUUCGAACGAUACUCCCGAAAGCGAAGUCCUCAAUUUCAAACAAAUUGAGGAAGAAAACUUAAAGGACGAUUGGUAUAGGAUUUGCAAUGCUCAGAGUAGAUCUACUCAUAAGCAGUCCACUACCGUCUUGCUUCGCAGUUUUUAUGUGGGUGUUUCUCCUUGGAAUAGGUAUAUUCUUGACACCAUCGUAGGUGGAAAUUUCUUGGGUAGCCAUACCGUUGACUCUUACGGAGCUGUGAUAAAUUUGGUAGGCUCACCCCCACUCAUGGUUAAUGGAACUACCUUAACCCUGGAACAUGUGAUGCGUAGGCUGGACGUCAUUGAAAAAAAAAUUGCCACGAUCGAAAUCAUUGAGAAUUUGGAUAAAAAGAUACACAAUCAAAUCACUCAGUAUGGAUCCAAGGUGGGAAUGGUUUUGAAAAAUUUAAAGGAGAAGGAACCCACAGUUAAUGAAAAACUAGGUCAUGAUUCCGCUAAGAUUGGCAAACUAGAGGAUGUUAUAACCAACUUGGGUUCCGCUUUUCCCGCUGUGGAGAAUACUCCAAACUUUUCCCACAAUAAAGUCACCAAAUCUGUUUUUGUUCCAAAAAAUAGUGGUGAAUCUUCUAGCAAGAAAGAUGAAAGCCUUAGGAUGAUCAGCGAUCACGCCACUUAUGGUUUGAGCACCAAAGACGACGAUACGUGAUUCUAUCACUUUUAUGCCUAGCUAAGGGCGUUAAACAAUAGCGCUUGUUGGGAGGCAACCCAAUGAAUUUAUCUUUUUUCUUUCUGUUUUGUUGCGUCUACACCAUCAAAAUUCUGUUGUGAUUGUGAUUUUUGUGUUUGAGCCAAGCAAAACCUUUAUGACUAGUCUUGGUAAUGGUUGUUUGAUCCUGCUGGAAAAAGACAGAAACUUUUCGCUCACGAUAUGAUUUUUCAUUUUUAUUAAGAAACAGAUUUUGAGUUGAUUCUUUUUUCUUCUGGUUUAUAUGCGUUUUUUCCAGGCCGUCGUAAUUUUUCAGAUUUUUUCACGUACCAGAAGUAUACGAAGUAUACAGAUUGCUACAAACUGGUCUGUUUUUGACAGAUUCUGUUUUUGUUGAGUUGGUUGCUUGUUUUGAUGAAACUUUGGUUAGUAUCGGGGGGUAAUAGCCAUGGAGAAGUGAGAAUACAGUAGCCCAACACCAAUAUAGAUGGAAUUCAAGUUUUCUACAGUACCAAAAGAAGUGGUAGCUGGUUUUCUUGUGCUAAUGUUAUCACGAGUUUCUGUUUAAGUUUUGUGUUGUGAAGUUUUCAAGUUUUGGGUGAUGUUCUCAUGGACGAUGAGAUAAGGAGUGGAAAGAGCUCAAGCUUGGGGAUUCCCAAGGCAUCCCAAGCCAAAUUCAUGGACACCAAAAAGCCUAAGCUUGGGGAUGCCCCGGGAAGGCAUCCCCUCUUUCGUCUUCAAUCCAUCGGUAACAUUACUUGGAGCUAUAUUUGUAUUCACCACAUGAUAUGUGUUUUGCUUGGAGCAUCUUGUAUUGUAGGCGUCUUUUCUUUUUGUUGUGUCACAAUCAUCCUUUCUACACACCUUUUUGAGAGAGAGAGACAUGCACUCAUCGUGAUUUUGCUAGAAUUCUCAUAGUGCUUCACUUAUAUCUUUUGAGCUAGAUACUUUUGCUCUAGUACUUCACUUAUAUCUUUUAGAGCACGGCGGUGCGUGAUUUGGUACUUGGCUUAUGCUUUGAAAGUAGUCCCAAAUGUGAUAGGUACCCAAAGAGGAUGCAAAAACCUCCAUCUUCAUGUGCAUUGAUAGAAAGAGAAGUUUUGAUUCCUCUCAAUUAGUUUUGAGACGUGGAUUUGGUAAUGUUGAGAGCUAGUUAGUAGGGUGUUGUGAAUCUAGAGAUACUUGUGUUGAAGUUAGUAAUUCCCGUAGCAUGCACGUAUGGUGAACCGCUAUGUUAGGAAGUCGGAGCAUAAUUGAUCUAUUGAUUGUCAUCCUUUGUGUUGAGGUCAGGAUCGCGCGAUGGUUAACACCUACCAACCCUUCCCCUCGGAGUAUGCGUUUAGCACUUUGUUUCGAUUACUAAUAAAAACUUUGAGUUCUUCAUGACUAAUGUGAGCCCAUGGUAUAGAUGCACUUCCACCUUCCACCAUUGCUAGCCUGUCUAGUGCCGCGCAAUUCUUGCCGGUGCACAAACCCACCAAAUUCCUUCCUCAAAACAUCCACCAUAUCUACCUACUAUGGCAUUUUCAUAGCCAUUCCGAGAUAUAUUGCCAUGCAACUCCCACCGUUCCGUCUCAUGACUUGUGUCGUCACUCUCAUAUUGCCAUUACAUGAUCGUAAGAUAGCUAGCGAGAUGUUUCAACGUCAUACGCCAUGCUAUAUCGUUGCACAUCCCGGUACACUGCCGGAGGCAUUUCCUAUGGAGUCAUCAUCAUUGUGAUCUUUGAGCUGUGAGUAAAUAAAAGUGUGAUGAUCAUCAUUAUUAGGGCAUUGUCCCAUGUGAGGAAAAAAAAAGAGGCCAAAGAGCCCAAAAACAAAAAAAGGAAGAAAAAAAGUGAGGCCUAAGAGCCCAAAUGAAAAAAAAAAAGAGAAGGGACAAUGCUACUAUUUUUUCCACACUUGUGCUUCAUGAUAGCACCAUGUUCUUCAUGAUUGAGAGCUUCUUGCUUCGUCACCACCCUAUGCUAGUAGGAAUCUUCAUUAAAUAACUUGGCUUGUAUAUUCCAAUGAUGGGCUUCCUCAAAAUUGCCCUAGGUCUUCAUGAGCAAGCAAGUUGGAUGCACACCACUAGUUGUCCUUUUGAGCUUUCACAUACUUAUAGCUCUAGUGCAUCCUUUUGUAUGGCAAUCCCUACUCAUUCACAUUGAUAUCUAUUAAUGGGCAUCUCCACGGCCUAUUGAUAAGCCGAGUCAAUGUGACCAUCUCCUCCUUUUUGUCUCACAACCACCACCACCACACUCUAUUCCACCUAUAGUGCUAAAUCCAUGGCUCGCGCUCAUGUAUUGCGUGAUAGUUAUAAAAAGUUUGAGAAAGUAAGGGUGUGAAAACAAUUACUUGGCCAAUACCGGGGUUGUGCAUGAUUUACAUUAGUUGUCUGAGGAUGAUGGAGCAUAGCCAGACUAUAUGAUUUUGUAGGGAUAACUUUCUUUGGCCUUGUUAUUUUGAAAGUUCAUGAUUACCUUGCUAGUUUGCUUGAAGUAUUAUUGUUUUCAUGUUAAUAGCAAACUAUUGUUUUGAAUCUUACGGAUCUGAACAUUCAUGUCACGUGAAAGAAGUUGCAAAGGACAACUAUGUUAGAUAGCAUUCCACAUCAAAAAUUCAUUCUUUAUCACUUCCCUACUCGAGGACGAGCAGGAGUUAAGCUUGGGGAUGCUUGAUACGUCUCCAAUAUAUCUAUAAUUUUUGAAGGUUUCAUACUAUUAUCUUGUAAAACUUUGGAUGUUUUGCAUGCCUUUUACAUAUUUUUUGGGGACUAACUUAUUAACUCAGUGCCAAGUGCCAAUUCCUGUUUUUUCCAUGUUUUUGACCCCUUUCAGAGGAGAUUUUGAAACAGAGUCCAAACGGAAGAAAAUCCCCGAAAAGCUUUUUUCCGGAACGGAAGAAGAUCGGGAAGCUUGGGAGCCAAGGCAGGGGAGCCUCAGGGGCCCCACAAGCCCCCACCCCGCAACCAGAGGGGUAGGUCGCGGCCCACAGGCUUGUGGGCCCCCUGAGCGCCCCCUGACCUAGGGGUUGCGGCUAUGAAUUCCCUAAAAAUCCCAAAAAAAUCAGGAGAUCAUCGAAAUCACUUUUCCGCCGCCGCAAGCUUUUGUCUCCGCAAGAUCCCAUCUGGGGCACGUUCUGGUGCCCUUCCAGAGGGGGGAUUCGGACACGGAGGGCUUCUCCAUCAACACCAUGACCUCUUCGAUGAUGCGUGAGUAGUUCACCAUAGACCUACGGGUCCAUACCUAGUAACUACAUGCCUUCUUCUCUCUCUUGGAUCUUCAAUACAAAGUUCUCCAUGGUCUUCAUGGAGAUCUAUCCGAGGUAAUAUUCUUUUGUGGUGUGUUUGUCGAGAUCCGAUGAAUUGUGGAUUUAUGAUCAAAUUAUCUAUGAAUCUUAUUUGAGUUUCUUCUGAUCUCCCUUAUGCAUGAUUUCAUAUCCUUGUAAUUAUUUUCGAGUUGUGGGUUUUGUUUGGCCAACUAGAUCUAUGAUUUUUGCAAUGGGAGAAGUGCUUGGUUUUGGGUUCAUACCGUGCGGUGACCUCACCCAGUGACAGAAGGGGUAGAGAGGCACGCAUCAUGUUGUUGCCAUCAAGGGUAAAAAGAUGGGGUUUUCAUCAUUGGUUUGAGAUUAUCCCUCUACAUCAUGUGAUCUUGCUUAAAGCGUUACUCUGUUCGUCAUGAACUCAAUACACUAGAUGCAUGCUGGAUAGCGGUCGAUGUGUGGAGUAAUAGUAGUAGAUGCAGAAAGUAUCGGUCUACUUGUCUCGGACGUGAUGCCUAUAUGUAUGAUCAUUGCCUUAGAUAUCGUCAUGACUUUGCGCGGUUCUAUCAAUUGCUCGACAGUAAUUUGUUCACCCACCGUGAUAUUUUCUAUUUUGAGAGAAGCCUCUAGUGAACACUAUGGCCCCUAGGGUCUACUCCACACCAUAUUUCCAGCCUUACACUUUUUACUUCGUUGCACUUUCCGCCUUCAGAUCUCACUUUGCAAACAAUCUUGAAGGGAUUAACAACCCCUUUGAAGCGUUGGGUGCAAGCUUGUUUGUGUUUGCGCAGGUACUCCAGACUUGACGAGGCCCUCCUUCUGGAUCGAUACCUUGGUUCUCAAACUGAGGGAAAUACUUACUGCUCCUGUGCUGCAUCACCCUUUCCUCUUCAAGGGAAAAACCGACGCAAACCAGAGAAGUAACAAGAAGAAUUGCUAGCGCCAAGGAAGGACUUUUGUUGCCGCAGCAGCCGGUUGAGCGGCUUUGUGGCAGCCGGGCCAAAUCUUAUUCUCUUCGUGUCUUCUUUCAGCUCGAGUGGAUGCAAUGCGAUGGCAUCUUCCGGGAUGCAAUCGACAUCGGCCGCUUCGCCAAGGCCAGCUAGCGCUAGGCUCGGGAGGAUCUUACGGCUCGAACAGCCGAGCUGGAGGCAGCAACAGGUAACCUCUCUUCUGCUGUUGGUGGGUGUAGUCCCCGAGAUUCGGGCCGGCUGCGCGGCUUCGUGGGAGCCGGGCAAAAUCUUUAUUCUUCUUUCCUUUGUUGAUUAUGUUGUUCGUUUGCUGUCCAGCACUGGGCGCAUCCGCCACCGAGCUGGAGUCACUACGCAAGUCCCUUGAGGCGGUCCGGGGCAAGUGCGACGAGAUCGCCCGUGAGCGCGACCGACUGGCCCAAGAGCUGGCGAAGUAGACGGCCGAGGUGGCGCGGCUCGACAGUGCCUUGCAGGCAGCCGAGGCGGAGAAGGCGACAGUGCGGCAGGCGGCAACCAAGAGCGAAGAGGUGGCCACAGCGCUCCGGGACGAGGUGGCUUGGCUCGGCAAUCUCAAGCAGACGGCUGACCAGCGGGCGGACAGCGCGGUCGGCCUCGUUAAGGGGGGUGGACACUGAUACGUCUCAAACGUAUCUAUAAUUUUUUAUGGUUUCACGCUCUUAUCUUGUCAACUUUGGAUGUUUUGUUUACCUUUUAUAUCUUUUUUGGGACUAACUUAUUAAUCCAGUGCCAAGUGCCAGUUCCUAUUUUUUCUGUGUUUUUGACUCUUUUCAGAUCUGAUUUUGGAACGGAGUCCAAACGGAAUAAAAUCCCCAAAAUAUUUUUUUCUAGAACGGAAGAAGAUCGGGAGGCUUGAGGGCCAAGGCAGUGGGCCCACAGGGAGCCCACAAGCCCUGUUGCCGCGGCCAGGGGGAGGCCGCGGCAACCAAGCUUGUGGCCCCCCUGGCGCUCCCCUGCCCUAGGUCUUUGGCCUAUAAAUUCCCUAAAAAUCCAGAAAAAAUCAGGGCAUCCACGAAAACACUUUUCCGCCGCCGCAAGCUUCCGUUUUUGCGAGAUCUCAUCUGGAGACCCUUCUCGGUGCCCUGCCGGAGGGGACUUUGGAGUUGGAGGGCUUCUACAUCAACAUCAUCGCCUCUCCAAUGACUCGUGAGUAGUCUACUUCAGACCUACAGGUCCGUAGUUAGUAGCUAGAUGACUUCUUCUCUCUCUUGGAUCUUCAAUACAAAGUUCUCCAUGAUCUUCAUGGAGAUCUAUCUGAUAUAAUCCUCUUUGGCGGUGUGUUUUUCGAGAUCCGAUGAAUUGUGGAUUUGUGAUCAGAUUAUCUAUGAAUUAUAUUUGAGUCUUUGCUGAUUUCUUAUUUGCAUGAUUUGAUAUCCUUGUAAGUCUCUCCGAGUCUUGGGUUUUAUUUGGCCAACUAGAUCUAUGAUUCGUGCAAUGGGAGAAGUGCUUGGUUUUGGGUUCAUACCGUGUGGUGACCUUUCCCAGUGACAGAAGGGGCAGCAAGGCACGCAUCGUGUUGUUGCCAUCAAGGGUAACAAGAUGGGCUUUUAUCGUAGAUAUGAGAUUGUCCAUCUACAUCAUGUCAUCUUGCUUAAGGCGUCACUCUGUUCUUUUGGACUUAAUACACUAGAUGCAUGUUGGAUAGUGGUCGACGUGUGGAGUAAUAGUAGUAGAUGCAGAAAGUAUCGGUCUACUUGUUUUGGACGUGAUGCUUGUAGAUAUAAUCAUUGCCUUAGAUAACGUCACGACUUUGCGUGGUUCUAUCAAUUGCUCGACAGUAAUUUGUUCACCCACUGUCUACUUGCUUUCACCAGAGAAGCCACUAGUGAACACUACGGCCCCCGGGUCUAUUCACAACUAUCGUUUUCACUUUCACUUUUACUUUGCUCUGUUUACUUUUUGCUUUCAGUUCUCACUUUGCAAACAAUCUAUAAGGGAUUGACAACCCCUUCAUAGCGUUGGGUGCAAGCUCUUUGUGUUUGUGCGGGUACUUGUGACUGGACGAGAUCUUCCACUGGUUCGAUACCUUGGUUCUCAAAACUAAGGGAAAUACUUACCGCCGCUGUGCUACAUCACCCUUUCCUCUUCAAGGGAACAACAACGCAAGGCUCCAAGGCCACGGGGAAAUCCUUUGCAUAUUUGCCAAGGAAGUCCCUAAAGGCGUAGCCGUAGCAGCAGGAUUCCUCGCGCCGUACGAGGGAAGGUCUAUUGUCGCAGUAGCAGAAGGAUUUCUGGCGCCGUUGCCGGGGAAGAUCGAGUCAAGAAUAGUCUCUCGUCAACGUGUUGAUUUCUGGCGCGGGGAGGAGAUCUAUCCAAGUAGGUGUCACAAACUCAUCUCUUGCAUUUACCUUUUUUGCCAGUUGCCUCUCGUUUUCCUCUCCCCCACUUCACAAUUGCCAUUUUCAUUUGCCUUUCCCCUUUUGCCGUUUCCUUUUGCCUUUUUACCGUUUUCUUUUGCCUUUUUGCCGUCUUCCUUUGCCGUUCUCUUUUGCCCGCUUUACUCGCUUACUUCCUGCUCGUUUAUGUGUGGGAUAGUCCAUCAAUGGCUAGACCCACUACUCCAAAUGAUACCCCUGAGAACGAAGUUCUCAAUUUCAGGCAGAAUGAGUAAGAAAAUUUAAAGGACGCUUGGUACCGGAUUUGCAAUGCUCAAAGUAGAUCCACUCAUAAGCAAUCCACUACCGUUCUUCUUCGCAGUUUUUAUGUUGGAAUCUCUCCUUGGAAUAGGUAUAUCCUUGAUACCAUCGUAGGCGGGAAUUUUUUGGGGAGCCAUACCGUUGACUCCUAUGGAGCUAUCAUGAA
RNAcentral lists this long non-coding RNA (51400 nucleotides) under Hordeum vulgare. Its description in RNAcentral is "long non-coding RNA (HVUL_LNC019728)". Lineage: Eukaryota; Viridiplantae; Streptophyta; Magnoliopsida; Poales; Poaceae. The record is from RNAcentral.